Molecule: long non-coding RNA, 73925 nt
Filed under: Triticum aestivum (bread wheat)
Lineage: Eukaryota; Viridiplantae; Streptophyta; Magnoliopsida; Poales; Poaceae
Description: long non-coding RNA (TAES_LNC018413)
Source: RNAcentral
GAAACCUAAUUUCCCUAGUUCUGUACAAAAGAGUGCUCUAGCCAGAAGUAAAGUGUCUAGAUUCCCUAGCUCUAGCUAGAAAUCACAGUGCUGACACUUUCUGUUCAGCAUGAACAAAAUAAAAAUCCUAUUUCUGUUUAUAUUACCUGAGCACAGUAUGAAGACAAAUUCAGAGCAGCAAGAUGUACAUGAUCUACCUUACUUGCCGGGGAUACGAUCAAACGGAGACCGCGUGCGCUAGUCACCUGCAUCGUGGAGAAGAGCUCCCUCGUAGACACAAGAGCAUACAAGAUAAAGUAGAGAAGAUGUGUCAACAACAUUAACAGGUCACUCCAUGUCAUAGUCCUUGGCCAGGGUCAGGGGACCUUGAAUCCUAGAAAUCUGCGGAGGAGGCAUCAUCAGGAGCAAUCUAUCACUACUCACAAAAUAACCCAAGAGGCGGGUACAGACUAUGUUAACCAUUUAUGUGUACAGAAUAUGUUAACUUGCACCACACCAGAGAAAUUUCUCAUCGGCAGCGGAUUUAUUAAUUUUCUGAUUAACACACAAGCUCGAGCUAGCGACCAACGACACGAGGACUACAGUCUCAUGUCUUCUCACAAAUAUCCAGUCAAAACAUGAAACUUAAUCUCAUCAUAGUCAGAUUAGGUUUGUCCUAAUCGAUUGAAACGACCACAAAUCCCAUCAAAAAUAUUAGUAGAAUAAAUCUAGUCACGGAAUGGAGGCCAUCCAGUGAUCUGCUCCAUCGAGCAGCUAACAGGUGAAACCAUCACUUAAUCAAAGGACCUCCCUGAGUAAUCCAGCAUCAACCGAUAUGAACAGAAUGUAGCUAGUGGUAGAAAUAAUUCAUUGGCAGAACCAUGGAACUAUCAUAGAUCCACUUUACUUGACCUAAUUACAUGAAACUCAAUUUGACUAAACUAAAAUGGAAGAAACGGUCAAAUCCAAGAAGCUAGAUAGUCUAACUCUAGCCUACCACAAGAAAAUGAAAAUAAAGUAAACCCCAAACCAUAUUUAUAAUACUACUAUUUCUCCAAGGAAAUAAGUGUGCAAUCUGUAACUCGGAGCAGGUUCAGCAAGUUAGUUGAGAGGCUAAUCCUGAGCGCGCACGGAGCUAAUUUCUCCAACCAAGGCAGGAACCAUGGGUGCUUGUUUUUUUUUUUUAGAACGAAGGCUCGCGGAGAGCCCGGCUUUGAAUUAACAAAGCCAUCAACCGGCCAGGAAAUACAGACACACACAAACCCCCACGACCAAACGAUACAAGGGGACACUCUAGGAGGCUUACAACUCAACGGGUCGCACAAGCACAAAAAGAAUACAGGAAAACAAAGCGCGAAGCUUGUCCUAGCCGAAGACUACAGCCAAACAGCCAACUAGGGAUGAGGCACACACGGGCACGACGAGGACCUGCUUGCAACAGAGAGUGGUGAGUGAGCCCGACCAACACCCAAGUAGAAGCCACCACACAUCCGCCGUCUCUCUCGCCUCAGAGGGACCCUUCCCCCUCGCCAUGGCUCGCCAGGCGCCGUACCCGGCGGACUUGAGAGACGCUCACCCUAGAGCAGGGGACGUGUCAGCUUCGGGACCUGGAGCAGCCGCAGCACUUCACCACUUGAACAUUCGAGCACUCCGCGACUGCCGCAUCGCCACAACCUAGAACGCCUGAGAGCUGCAGGAAAACCACCAGGUGCAGCUACUGAAGAAAGGCACCAGAGGCAUCAAGAGAACCAACAGGCCACUGAGAAGCAUUGCCAGGCAGCCGAACGCCUACAGCCAUGCCGAACCUAGUGACACCGCCGUCACCGGACCACCCAAGCCACCCAAGCUCCGACCUUGAACCCCUCACCUGAAUGCAACCCUCCCCAGGCGGCGCCCCCAAGGAAGAACACGUCGCACAGCGCGCCGUCACCGCCCAAUCCAUGCCGGAUUUUGGGCUUUCACCCGGGAGGAGGAACAGGGGUGGAAAGGGGAAGGGCCUCUGCAGCACCUCCAAGGAGGAGACGGCGUCGGGGACGUCGCUGCUGCCAGGCCGGCCACGCCGGCCAACGGUUUCCCGCGGCCCAAAACCAGACCACCGGUCACCCACCCACAUCAUACCAGCGCUCGGAGGGAGGCAGGCGAGAAGCGGCGGGGACGAGGAAGACAGGGGAAAGGAGCCACCCUCAGAUCUGACGAGGAGGGGAGACCUCCGCGCCGCCGCCGCCACCCGCCGACGCCUCACCACCCGCGUGGUCGAGGCCGCCGGCCAGAGCACACCCGCGAACGACGCCGGUCGAGAAAGUGCCACCGCCUCGCCGAGAAGGGCCGCCGCCCCAGAUCCGAGGUCCUCCUCGAGGAAAGGAGCGACCGAGGCCUCGCCGCCACCUUCACGGGCAGCCGCACGCGCGGAUCCGGCGGCUAACUCGGGUGGCGGCGAGGGAGGGAGGGUGAGGGAGCGGUGGCGCGACGGGAAAACCCUAGUCGCCGCCCGAGUCGCCCGAGGCGGACGACGCGGGGGCCGCGCGGGGAGGGGGGGACCCCAUGGGUGCUUGUUCCCAUGGAACCUCUCCUCAGCUGCUGAUAGGGAGUCGAGUAGCAGGCUAAGCAGGUCGUCCUUGACGGCAGCAACAGCCAGGCGUGAGCCACGUAUAGGUGCACAACAGCAGGGAGAUUGGAAACAAAAAGAGGAAGAAAGAACACACCUUUCACAUGGUGGCAAACCGAGCAAAUGGCAGACAACAUGCAGGGUCAGAUCCGGAACCAGAGGUGGAAGGCGAGGAGGAGCAGCGCUGAGGCGACGGCGGAGACGACGAGAAGCCGCCGCCGCGCAGACCCCCUGGGCCACACCGCCCGCGCCGCGUGCCAUAAGCCGCCGCCUUUGCCUCGCCUCGCCAUUCCUCCUUCCCUCAUGUGGGAGCCGAGGCCGGGCCGGGGCGUUAGGGUUUGGGCGGCGCCUGAUCGGAAGGGUGGAAGGAGUAGAACGUGAGGAGAGGAGGCUGGGCGGCGACGGGGAAGGAGGCAGUGGUGGCGGCGCUAGGGGCGAGAGGAGGAGAGGGAGGCGCGGGUGCGGGCGACGCUAGGGGGAGAGGGAGGCGCGGGUGCGGCGGCGCUAGGGGGAGAGGCAGAGGAGAGGGAGGCGGGGCGAGUGCGGGAGGAGGAAGGCAGCGGCUAGGUCGUCUCCACGGGAGCGGCUGGCUUUUAUAUCCCUGUGAGCGAAAUGACAAAAAUGCCCCGGCGAGGCUGGCUAUUUACGCGCGCUGGCAUGAACGAGAUGGUAACUAUUCAUUGUAGCAGUAACUUUUUUUCAAUCCAACGGCCAAGGUCUUCCACGAGCAAGAUCCGACGGUCCUAAACACAUCAAGUAAACGAUCUGACGGCCGACAGUGGCUAAGCUUUGAGAAAGCUCAUGUUCUCCCUAUAUACUUAUUCCUGAAUAAAGAAGUAGCAGGAACGACACGUUCCUCUUGCUAUCAAUCUAGCGACUUGUGUGCGUACGUGCAUCUUGUGUUUCGGCCGGAAUCAAUCAACUAGAUUGGAGGCUUAGCUUGUACAUGCACAUCGCAGGCUACGGUGUCAAUCGAUCAAGAACGGUCGAGCCAGCUUGGAGCAGAAACCAAGAUAGUUAGCCGGUCGUUGCCGUCGCCAGAAAGUAUUUGGCGUCGGGUCUUGCAUCGUCAGAAAGUACUCGACGGUUGCGUCGUCAAGGUCGGGCUUGUGCCAACACAUAAUCAUAUACUACCUCACAAAUGUCUACUCGAGUACUGCAUGUCCCUCAAAUGAACACCCAUAUAGUUGCUACAGCCCAGGUUCGGCCAUACUAAAACCAUGUCUAACCUAUCUCCUACAAUUUAGAGGAAGAUACGCCUGAGCAUAUUUGCUCCUCUAAGAAAGUGUUGUUUCUAACCGAUCACCUAUACUUAAUUCCUUCAACAACAAAAAAUCAGCGCAAAAUCGGUGCAAAUUUGUUUCAAACUUGAUUCAAAAUAUUUUACAGAAAUUAAACUAAAUUUGAACUAGAUUACAUACAAACUAAAUAAAAUUACUCACUAUCGCUCUCGUUCUCCAACACCUCCAUGUCCAAUUCAGUAAAUGACGCGCCUUCUAUGGCACCACCUCCAUGCCGUCGUUGCUCGCACCGCCUUGGCCUGCUGUUGCCUCCAUCGUCGCCGUUGUAGUCACUAGACCAAUGGUGGAUGACCUCCGUUGCCCGGGCCUUGUACUGCUCGUACAGCGGCGCUCCGCCUCAAUGCGGUUCAGGUACAAUAGGCAAUGUUUUGCCAUGCACGCCUCGCGAGCUUCCUACACCUCGAGGCGCUUGCAGGCCACAUACCCGGACCUCACGCCAAAGUUUAACAUCUAAAGUUGAAGGCCCACUAGUAGAAAAAAGCUCAUUUGUCCCGGUUCCAGAGGCCCAUUUGUCCCGGUUCACUUACGAACCGGGACAGGUGGAGCUCCACGUGGACGCUAUGGCGAGCCCAGGCAGGAGGGCCUUUGGUCCCAGUUGGUAACACCAACCAGGACCAAAAAGCAUCCACGCGUCAGCAGCUGGCAGGAGCUGAGGUUUUUGAUUUUUUUUUAAAGGGGGUGGGUUUAGGGGGUUUUGGGGGUUAAUUUAGGGUGUUACCUAGCUAAUAGAGAGAAGUGUCCUCUCUUAUCUUCGUGCUUGGUUUACCAGCGCUACUAAUAUGCCUAAACAUGGCUUAGAUUGAAGUGAAGGCAACAUGUGGUGCAUGUCAAAAGUAAUAAUAAUCCUAACUUGAUCAAGUUUGGAUUAGUACUACUUUCGACAUGCACCACAUGUUGCCUUCACUUCAAUCUAAUCCAUGUUCAUUUCACCCACUGAUAUAUAAUAACUCUUCAUGCUCGCAUCAUGCAGCAUCAUAAUAACAAGUCCUACUCAUCAUCAUCAUACAACUUCUACUCGUUAUUAAUAACAAGUCAUACGAUCAUCAUCCUCAUAGUCAUCGAACCAACCCUACUUAAUUGUUCUUAGCACAUGAUCAUGAGUAUUAGGUAGUACCUAAAUACCCUCUUUAAGGUAAAAUAGCGUAAAACAAUAUAGGCCCGACUCUUCAUUAUGGAGAAUGGAGAUCAUCCUGUCUCCAAUUCUUGCGCUUCGCUUCCUUUUGCUUCCAAUUACCUCCGUACGUUUGACCAUACAUUUUGUUCAAUCUUUGAUUGUCAUGUGUUGAUCGGUUUUUGAAAUCCGGUAUGGACAGUUGUGAUGCGUAGGAUGACCUGGCUGUAAGUUCAUAACAUCAACGCGACCUUUCGGAAACAUCAUCAGAUGAGGCACACAAUCAUUUCGGAUUAUCUGUUGAAAAACAUAGUAAUAACUUCGUAGUUAGCAAUGUAUAGUUGAGUUUUAGAAGAAUUUAUGCAAAAGAAGCACGAAUGUCGUAAUAGUAAAAAAUCUUACCAUUUUAUCUCCAUGGAUAUUAACAUAGUUCAACACGUGCACUAGUGGCACGUAUUGACCAUAAUGUUGAGGAGUUUGAUAGUAUAUAUUGUAAUUCUCAAGAUCAGUACAAAAUGCGAUCAGAUGAUUUUUCUCCUGAUAAGUUAAUUCUGAUCCAUCGGUGUAGUAGGUUCUGUCUACCAUAUUCCGCACAUUCUUUGAACAAUGAAAAUAAGCUGUCGAUGGAAAUAAGUUGUCAACUAUUUUGAAAUAAACAACAUAAAUUACUUAAUAACUAUGUUUGAGAAACUCACAUAGCGGUAGAAUUGGAAGCGUAUCAACAAGGACCCAAAUGUCCGAAUUGUCUUCGGCGGUGUCAGGAUCACCAAGAUCCAUGGUGACUAGCAUACCCUCAUAAAAACCAUACAUCUUGCAAAGUGCUUCUCAAUUCAUGCAACCAAAAUGGGUUACGCUCUCAGAAUUGUACAGAUUUACUUCAAAAUCCAUACCAUGAUGGGUCCUUAGGUGAAUUUUCUUUGUUUCCAUAGUUUCAUGAUCUUCAAAAUUUAGCCUCUCCAAGACAUAGCGUCUUGCAUGGCAUGGGAUAAACUAGUCGAAUUGUAAAGGACGAAAAUUACACGUUGAAGUAGUAGAAGUUGUGCUUAAUUACGAAAAAAUACUUGUCGUCGUUCCGUAGUGUUUCAACCUCGAAGGUCUCCUGGAGCUUAAUGCUGAAGCGCCGACCUUCGUCCAGGUGAGGCAUGUCGCACAGACCCCGGUCGUCGUUGCACCAGUCGCACUCCCCCAGGAGACUUUCAUAGUCCGAUGACGACAUUUUCUAGGUUCAUAUAAUUCAAAGAUUAAACUUGUACAAUUAAAAAUAUGUACUACAAAAACUAAAUUAGAUCAUUAUUAUUUAUCAUGGGUUGACUAUCGGAGCAAUCAAAGUAGGAGUAGUUUUCCAAUUUGAGCAUUCAAUAAGCAAAACCAAAUCGUAAAUAAAUUAGUAUUCAAAUUAGCAUGCAUUCAAUAAGCAAAACUAAAUCAUCUCUUUUGUCCGUACAUCGUCGAAUAUUAUCACUAAUACAUCUCGAAUAGUAUCAUACAUAUAACAUCACUAAUAUAGCUAAAACCCUAGCGAACGACGGGUAUCGGCGCGGACGGUAGACACCCAAAGAGAAGGAACCAUCACAAGAUCCUAGCUCCAGUGAGAUCCCUAAAGAACCUGCCAGGUAUUGGAGAACCUGCCCUCCAACGCAACCAUGUAGCGAAGGACGUGCUCGUCCUCCUCGCUGACACGGUGACGUACCACCUCCGCGGGGUCCUCAAGCAUCCGCACCAUCACUGGCCCAUGCGACCGCCACCAAUGAAGGUUCGGGUCCACGACGGGCUGGCUCCUCACCAAGCUUCGUCCCUCGAAAGGUAGCACCUCCCAGUACCAACCCAACGGAGCCCAGCCCGGGCAUGGCCCCUCUGAUCAAGCAGGCCUCCUCCGCCGAGUCGACGACGAGGAUGUGUCAUAGGUAUCGUCGACGUUGAUGCGGGAAUAAUUGCUUUAACUAAAAAAUAAACUAGUUCUAUUAAUUUUCUUACUAAAAAUAAACUACUUCUAUAGUAAAAUAAACUAGUUUUAUUAAUUCGACUAGUUCAACUAAGCACUUUACUAUAAAUACAAUAAAGUAGUACUUACUAAAAAUAAAUUAGUUUAACUAGUUCUAUUAUUUUUCUAACUAAUUCUAUUAAACACUUACUAAAAACAGUAAAAUAACUAUAUUGAAUUUUUUCUAUAAACUAAACACUAUACUGCCUUAAAUUAACAUCUACUUAUUAGUUACCUAACCUACUUCCCUAACUAAGAAACAUCUAAUUAACUAAAAAAAUCUAAUUCAACUAACCUAAAAUGCACUAACCUAACAUCUAAUGCACUAACCUAAAUCAACUAACAUAGAACAUUCAUCGAGCAAGAUCAACUUGAACAAAAAUAUCGACAAUGAUAAUNNNNNNNNNNNNNNNNNNNNNNNNNNNNNNNNNNNNNNNNNNNNNNNNNNNNNNNNNNNNNNNNNNNNNNNNNNNNNNNNNNNNNNNNNNNNNNNNNNNNNNNNNNNNNNNNNNNNNNNNNNNNNNNNNNNNNNNNNNNNNNNNNNNNNNNNNNNNNNNNNNNNNNNNNNNNNNNNNNNNNNNNNNNNNNNNNNNNNNNNNNNNNNNNNNNNNNNNNNNNNNNNNNNNNNNNNNNNNNNNNNNNNNNNNNNNNNNNNNNNNNNNNNNNNNNNNNNNNNNNNNNNNNNNNNNNNNNNNNNNNNNNNNNNNNNNNNNNNNNNNNNNNNNNNNNNNNNNNNNNNNNNNNNNNNNNNNNNNNNNNNNNNNNNNNNNNNNNNNNNNNNNNNNNNNNNNNNNNNNNNNNNNNNNNNNNNNNNNNNNNNNNNNNNNNNNNNNNNNNNNNNNNNNNNNNNNNNNNNNNNNNNNNNNNNNNNNNNNNNNNNNNNNNNNNNNNNNNNNNNNNNNNNNNNNNNNNNNNNNNNNNNNNNNNNNNNNNNNNNNNNNNNNNNNNNNNNNNNNNNNNNNNNNNNNNNNNNNNNNNNNNNNNNNNNNNNNNNNNNNNNNNNNNNNNNNNNNNNNNNNNNNNNNNNNNNNNNNNNNNNNNNNNNNNNNNNNNNNNNNNAAGGCCUCUUUUCAACAGCCCAAAGGGCGGGAAACAAAGACCUUUGGUCCCAGUUGGUGGCACGAACCGGGACCAAAGAGUGGCAUUGGUCCCAGUUGUUAUCACAAACCGAUAUCAAUGCACCCCUUUCGUCCAGGUUGGUAGCACCAACCGGGACCAAAGGCCUUGUGCUGCCCACGGCCAAAAGUUUAGUCCCACCUCGCUAGUUGAGAGGGGCUCGGAGUGGUUUAUAAGCCCCACUACGGCUGCCCUCUCGAGCUCCUCUCAAAUGCAGGCUUAUGGGCCUAAUGUCACACUAACUGCCUAUGGGCCUACUGGGCCUUCUGCGGGCCUGAAUCCUGGCCCAUGGUUGGGUUUCUAGUCAUAUUCAGGCCGUGGCGGCCCAGUAGGAGGCAUUUUUUAUUUUUAUUUUCCAGUUUUUUUCUUUAUUUAUUUCAUUUUGUUUUUUGCUUUAUUUUUUAGUUCUUUUUGCUUUUAGGAGAGAAAAAAUAUAAACUUUCUGUUAGUGCCAUUAGUUUUCAAUUUUGAAUAGUUUAAAUUUGAAUUCUUUGAAAUUUGUGUGAAUCACUAGUUUGUGAUUAACUUUACUAUAAAAAUAGAUUUUGGAGUGAUACUUUUUCCUGCUAUUUAAUAUUACUGUGUUUUAUCAUUAUAUUCAAAAAUAUUUUUUGUUAUUUUAGUUUCUAACAAAAAAAUCUUUACGAUAAUUGUUUUUGCUAUUAAAGUUUUAACAAAAAAGUUAUUUAUGAAAAUUCUUUUUGCUUUUAAUGUUUUGAACAGAAAAUACUUUGAUAAUUUUAGUUGCAUAAAUUUUAUAUAAUUUUAGUUUCAAUAAUACUAGAGGUUUAUAAAAAGCUUUUUAAUUGAUUCCUUUUGCUACUAGAGUUUCAUUAAAGUUUUCUAGUUCAUUCUUUUUUCUAUUAGAGUUUCAUUAAAUUUUUCUAGUUCUUUCUUUUAGUUUAUUAUUUUUUAUAUUAGAGUUUCAUAAAAGUUUUCUAGUUCAUUCUUCUUUAUAUUAGUUCAUUCUUUGAGCUAAAUGACCCUGAAAUUGAAAAGCACUUCAGAUGAACUCUGAAGAGGUUGAAAAUUGGCAUUAUAUAGUCAUUUCACCCACAUAGCUUGUGCUAAAAAUUGAGAGGAUUACGGCAAAAACUGGAUGCACUUCGUGUAUAAAACAGACAAUCUUUUUCGAAGUAUCGGGGUUUCGGGCGAAAACUCGUGUGUUACAAAGGGAUUUCAUUUUUUGAACUUAUUUGAACUCCAGACUUUUUGUGUGUUCAAAAUUCACCAUUCAACGCCACAUCAUAAAUUUUCAACCCUUUCUGACUUCAUUUGUUAUUUUUCAUGCAUUUACUGAUUUUUUGAACUAAAUGACCCUGAAAUUGAAAAGCACUUCAGAUGAACUCUGAAGAGGUUGAAAAUUGGCAUUGUUUCAUCAUUGCACCCACAUAGCAUCUGCUAAAAAGUUGAGAGGAUUACGGCAAAAACUAGAUGCACUUCGUGUACUAAACGGACAAUCUCUUUCGAAGUAUCAGGGUUUCGUGUGGAAACUCAUCUGUUACAAAAGGAAUUCAUUUCUUUGAACUUAUUUGAACUCCAGACUUUUUGUGUGUUCAAAAUGCACCAUUCAAAGCCACAUCAUCAAUUUUCAACCCUUUCUGACUUCAUUUGUUAUUUUUCAUGCAUUUACUGAUUUUUUUAGCUAUAUGACCCUGAAAUUGAAAAGCACUUCAGAUGAACUCUGAAGAGGUUGAAAAUUGGCAUUGUAUCAUUAUUUCACCCACAUAGCAUGUGCUAAAAAGUUGAGAGGAUUAUGGCAUAAACUGGAUGCACUUCGUGUACUAAACGCACAAUCUCUUUCGAAGUAUCAGGAUUUCAUACGGAAACUCGUCUAUUACAAAGGGAUUUCAUUUCUUUGAACUUAUUUGAACUCCAGACUUUUUGUGUGUUCAAAAUGCACCAUUCAAACACUACUGAAUGUGAGCGUGAGGAUCAGGAGAGGAGGGAGGAGGAGGUCGCCGGAGAGACCGUGAGGAUCAGGAGAGGAGGGAGGAGGAGGUCGCCGGAGAGGAGGAGGAGGACCGUGAGCAGGAGAGGAAGGAGGAGGACCGUGAGGAGGAGAGGUGGGAGGAGGAGGUCGCCGGAGGAGGAGCACCAUGAGGAGGAGGUCACCGGAGGAGGAGCACCGUGAGGAGGAGGAGGUCGCCGGAGAGGAGGAGAUGGAGUGCAAGAGAGGAGGAGAGGAGGAGAUGGAGUGGAGGAGAGGAGGAGAAGAAUGAAGGGGUAAGUGGCUGGCCGACCCUUUUAAACUUCUGUCCCAACUUAGCAGUGGCGCACCAUGCACUGGUGCGCCAUUGCUAUUUUUUUGAAUUGUGAAGGCGGGAAAAUAGCAGUGGCGCACCAUGCACUAGUGCGCCAUUGCUAAUUUAUUUAUUUUUUGCAUUUUUUUCAAUUUUUUUGCCUCCAGAUAUUAAAAGCAUCGUAACUUUUUUUCUGUUAGGUUUUUGAGGAUUCUAGAAAAUCGAUAACAGGCAUAGCCGGUCAUAUUUGAAUGUAACUUUUCGAGUAGAUGAUUUUUCAUAUAAAAAAACUUUUUCAUCGGAGGUCGUAUGCAAAAUUUACGGCCAUUUUACCGAAACACGGCGGCCUUUUGCAAAAAAAUACAAAAUUCAUGUUUGUUAAUUUGCCUAACAACUAGAACACAUAACACAUGGGCAUCUAUUUUUUAGAUUUUUUUUGAAUCUUUUAUCAUUUUCUUUUAUUUUUUAAUAAACCUAAAAGGCGAUCCGCAAGGGGGGUGUGUUUGUGUGUGAGAGACCUUAGUAAUGGCGCACCCUCCCUGGUGCGCCAUUACUAACCUCACUCACACACGCAGGCACACCCCCACCAGACAUAGCAAUGGAGCACCAAACCUAGGUGCGCCACUACUAUGUAGCAUAGCAGUGGCACACCUAGGUGUGGUGCGCCAUUGCUAUGUCUGGUGGGGGUGGAUAAAAAAAUAGCAAUGGCGCACUGCUUAUGUGGUGCGCCAUUAGUAAAAACAUAGCAAUGGCGCACCUGAUUCUAGUGCGCCACUGCUAUAUAGCAGUGGUGCACCACAUACAUGGUGCGUCAUUAAUGUCCAUAUUAGCUAUUUCCUGUAGUGAAAGCCACAUCAUCAAUUUUCAAUUCUUUCUGACUACAUUUGUUAUUUUUGAGGCAUUUACUGAUUUUUUAGCUAUAUGACCCUGAAAUUGAAAAGCACUUCAGAUGAACUCUGAAGAGGUUGAAAAUUGGCAUUGUAUCAUCAUUUCACCCACAUAGCAUGUGCUAAAAAGUUGAGAGGGUUACGGCAAAAACUGUAUGCACUUCGUGUACAAAACGGACAAUCUCUUUCGAAGUAUCAGGGUUUCGCAGGAAAACUCAUCUUUACAAAGGGAUUUCAUUUUUUUAACUUAUUUAAACUCCAGACUCUUUGUGUGUUCAAAAUGCACCAUUCAAAGCCACAUCAUCAAUUUUCAACCCUUUCUGACUUCAUUUGUUAUUUUUCAUGCAUUCACUGAUAUUUUUGAGCUAAAUUACUCUAAAAUUGAAAAGCACUACAAAUGAACUCUGAAAAGGUUGAAAGUUGGCAUGGUAUCAUCAUUUCACCCACAUAACAUGUGCUAAAAAGUUGAGAGGGUUAUGGCAAAAACUGGAUGUAUUCCUGUACAAAACGGACAAUCUCUUUCGAAGUAUCAAGGUUUCGGACGAAAACUGAUCUGUUACAAAGGUAUUUUAUUUUUUUAACUUAUUUGAACUCCAGAUUCUUUGUGUGUUCAAAAUACACCAUUCAAUUCCACAUCAUCAAUUUUCAACCCUUUCUGACUUCAUUUGUUAGUUUUCAUGCAUUCACUGAUAUUUUUGAGCUAAAUGGCGCUGAAAUUGAAAAGCACUACCAAUGAACUCUGAAAAGGUUGAAAGUUGGCAUAGUAUCAUCAUUUCACCCACAUAGCAUGUGCUAAAAAGUUGAGAGGAUUACGUCAAAAACUGGAUGCACUUUGUGUAGAAAACGGACAAUCUCUAUCGAAGUACCAGAGUUUCGGACGAAAACUCAUCUGUUACAAAGGGAUUUCAUUUUUUUAACUUAUUUGAACUCCAGACUCUUUGUCUGUUCAAAAUGCACCAUUCAAAGCCACAUCAUCAAUUUUCAACUAGAGAUUUAAGUUGUUGAAUUUUUUAUAGUUUUGUUUUAGUUGAUCAUAACAAAAAAUGAUUCUUUUUAGUUGCAUAAAUUUUAUAUAAUUUAAGUUGCAUAAAUUUUAUUUUUUAUUGAUUCUUUUUAGUUGAUUCCUUUUGCUAUUAGAGUUUUAUUAAAGCUUUUUAGUUGAUUCUUUUUGCUAUUGUAGAAUAUUAUAGUUUUGUUUUAGGAGGAAAAAAACACAUAUUUGGUCCCGGUUCCAGCCACCAAUCGGGACUAAAGGUGGUGGGCCAGGAGCAAGGCCCAUUGGUCCCGGUUUAUGUCUGGAACCGGGACCAAUGGCCCCCGAGGCCCGCCCCGGCCCGUGCCCUGGCCUCAUGAACCGGGACCUAUACCCCCAUUGGUACCGGUUCAGGAGUGAACCGGGAUUAAUGGGCUUGCCCUACCUGGACCAAAGCCCUGUUUUCUACUAGUGGCCUCAACCAAGACGAAUUGUCGGGUCUGGGUCACACACCGGUCUGGCUUGCUCUCGGUGCACACCGCAUGCACACUCUCUAGGGUCUGCCGCCGCCAUCUUCAGGAGGGAUCAGUGCAUCGACCUUGAUAGGCCUCUCUGCCGUCAACGUCACCACGGCGCCAGAAAAGCGCUAUCCUCUUGCGUGAGUCCAUCUACACGCAUCUGACGCCAUGACUCCACUGUGCCACAUCGCCGAGAUCCGCCGUCGUCGAUGCAGAAGAUGUAACACCUCUCCACCUCAGAGCCCCUGCAGUCAGCACCUGCUCCAAAACGAUGCCCUCAGGAGGGAGAAUGGCACAAUGUGCGAUCAUCCGAUCCGGGAGACCCAAAUCUAGGGUUCCCCCUGGACCAGCCCGAGCGAGAUGACGCAACCUGCAAUGAUGAUGCCUCAACAAGGAAACGACGUCAAAGACGCCGCCAUCAUCCGUCAAGACCGAAGUCGACGCGAUUUUCACCGGCAGUCGCGCCAUCCCGACCCUAUAGCUGACUGGAACCGCAUGGUGCCUCGCUAUGGAGAUGUACGCAAACAUCGGAAUGCUAAGGACCACCAUCGCAACCCCAGUCCACCAUCACCGCCGACACCACUGCCCAAAAUACAGUGCCAACCGUCAGCCACCGCCGUCCACGGCCCGCACCGCCUAGUGCCUUGGGACCAUGGAUCUACGCCAGAUCGCCGCCGCUGCCAAUACCCAGCACACCCCACCACCGGAGGCCAACCGCAUCUCCUGCCUCCAAACGAAGCCGCCAGGAAGCAGAGCACAUCGCGCUGAGGCGACCCUCCGCAUUAUGACGCCUUGGCCCGUUGAUUCCGGCCCACACAAAAUGCACGUGCGAGGGGUGCCGCCGCCGCCGGCGGCAGCAGGGGAGAGGAGGAGCGGAAGGAGGGGCGCCCGACGGCGGCUAGGGUUCCCUCCCAUCACCUGCGGGGGCGACUUGGGAUGUCGGACUCAAACAUCAUCAAAUGAUAAUGAUCAUAUAAUAUGAGUUGUGUGGCCCCCAAAAUAAGCAUACAAAGUCCACCUCAUGUCUCGUGAAAUGAUUGAUUUCACGACUAGACAAUUUGGUCCAGUUGGUGUAGAUUUCAAUUUUCAAGGGGUGUAAGCGUAUUCAUGCGCGACCACGCGAGCAUCUGCGCAAAACCAUGUAGCAAUCACCGUGUUUUUUUUCUGUCUCUCGUCAUGUAAUCCACACAGAACAAAAGCUUUUUCCAGAGCAUUUUUCAUAUGUGCACGCGUGUAUGAUGUGGAUGCUCAUGCCACAAGCUUAACCAACAACCAAAAAAAAAAGAUAAAGUACACCUAAGAGCAUUUUUUCGUGCAUAAGUACACCUAAGAACAUGUAAUACAAAAAACGUUAAUCAUUUAUUUAGAACAAUGUUAAUCAUAUAUAACAAAUGUUUCAUAUGUGAGACGCCAUGAUAAACGCUGGCCAGAGACGCUAUCGCGGGGCCACACCGCUCCCCCGCUCCCCCGCUCCUAGGGUUCCCCCGCCGCCGCCGCCGUCGGCUCCCACGCGCGCAGNNNNNNNNNNNNNNNNNNNNNNNNNNNNNNNNNNNNNNNNNNNNNNNNNNNNNNNNNNNNNNNNNNNNNNNNNNNNNNNNNNNNNNNNNNNNNNNNNNNNNNNNNNNNNNNNNNNNNNNNNNNNNNNNNNNNNNNNNNNNNNNNNNNNNNNNNNNNNNNNNNNNNNNNNNNNNNNNNNNNNNNNNNNNNNNNNNNNNNNNNNNNNNNNNNNNNNNNNNNNNNNNNNNNNNNNNNNNNNNNNNNNNNNNNNNNNNNNNNNNNNNNNNNNNNNNNNNNNNNNNNNNNNNNNNNNNNNNNNNNNNNNNNNNNNNNNNNNNNNNNNNNNNNNNNNNNNNNNNNNNNNNNNNNNNNNNNNNNNNNNNNNNNNNNNNNNNNNNNNNNNNNNNNNNNNNNNNNNNNNNNNNNNNNNNNNNNNNNNNNNNNNNNNNNNNNNNNNNNNNNNNNNNNNNNNNNNNNNNNNNNNNNNNNNNNNNNNNNNNNNNNNNNNNNCACGCGCGCAGGCGCGGCGGCGGCGGCCGGAGCCCGCCGGAGCCGCCAGCCCCUUCCCCCUGCCCCUCCCGUUCCCCUUCUCCUCCCCCCUCCAUUCCCCGUACCCCCGCGCCGCCUCCCCGAGCGAGGCGGCCGGGGGCCCUUCCACAGCGCCCCUCCAGCUAUCCCCCGCGUCCCUCCCUCCUCCCGCCGCCGUCAGCGUGCGCCGCCGGUCCUCGGCCGCGUGGUGCUGGCGGCAGUGGGCAUGCCCUUCCCCGCACGCGGCCGUCCCCUGCUUGGGAGUUGAUGGCCGGCUUCGGUGCUGCCCGUCGGCGGUGAUGCCGCGGGCCGCGGUGGUUCUUGACACGGCGGUGCGGCCGUUGGCCGUGGGGCUGUGCGGUGCCGCUGGUCUUGGCGGCGCCCGCCCUGCCCAGAUCUGGGCCAUUGGGCCAUCCGGGUUGGGCGGGCCGGUGGCUCGGCGUUCAGCGGCGUCGUUCCCUGGUGGUGGCGUGGUGGCGGUGGUCUCGGGCGGUGAGGGCUUCGUCGAUCGGCGCGCUGCAGCGUGGUGACAGGACUGUCUGGGUACAAGUGGACCCGGUCGGCAUUCGGUGCCCGGCAAGUCCUUGUCGCCGCGUCCGGUCGGCCCCGCUGGGGCGGUGGAGGUUGUUCCCUCCCUCCGGUGGCGUUGUGAUCGCUCAUGUGGCCAUUGUUCCCUUUCCAUCUCCAGGUCUCGUGUUGGUAGCUCCAGUGAGGCGGCGAGGGUUGCCUGGUAAUCAUGGUGGCACACGCUGGUGGGCGGAUGUUGGGGUGAUGCAUGUCGAAAUGCCUGGGGUGGUGGUGGUGGUCGUGGAUCGGGAGAAAUCCAUGUCAGCUUGUCCGGCACCGGCGCGGUGACGCCUGCAGGCGCCAUCGGUCCCUCUUGAGGGGCGUCGGAUGAAUCCCUUCCCCACCAUCCCCAGUGUACAAGAGAAAACCCUAGAACUUGUUCGGGCAACAAUGACGACACCGUCUCAUUCCUUCUUGAAGGUGUUGCUUGGUGCACGACGCUUCGGGAUGCUGGGAGCGUGGUGGUACUUCUUCGGAGGGUGUAGCGGUUGCCGGGCUUCCUUUCUCCGUUGAUCUGCCAAUGUCGGCAUUUUCUCUCUCUUCUUUUUCUUCUUGUUUUUCCUUUUGGGCUCUGCUGUGUUGUGGCCCCAGCAAGCUGGAUGUAUCGGUUGUCUGCUUUAUGUAUAAAGUGGGGGGAAACCCUUUUUCUUAAUGUUUCAUAUGUAUAUGAAAAAUAUACGUGCAUGAAAAACUAAACAUCAGAACAUAUAAACUAAAAAAUGUUAAUCGUGUAUUUAAAAAUGUUAAAACAUGCAUAAUUGUUUUUAUAUACAUAAAAAAUGUACAUUAUGUGUGAAAAGGGUAGAGAUGUGUUGAAAAACCUACAAAAUCGUAAGAAAACCAUGAAUCCCAAUGAAAAUCAAAGAAAAAAACAAGAAAAAGAAAUAAAACUAAAGAAAAGAAGAAAAAGGAAAAACCCAAUGAAAACCUAGGAAUAACUCCAAAGAAAAAAAAGGGGGGAAACGAAUAAAAAUAUGGGAGCUCCUAACCGGCGCCUUUCAGCGCCGGUUGGACCUUCUGGCGCCCACGCUGCUCCUGUUAUGGGCCCGGCCCAGGAACACGCAGCAGUCCAAUGCAGUAGCCCGUAAAAAUACCAAAAAUAUAUGGCCCUGCUGUGGAAUCGAACACGCGUUGCUUACCUCCAGUAAAUGGUUAGCCAACCACUCGAGGUACCCCGCAGUACUGAAACAUUUCAGCGCGACAAAGCUUGAGAACAAAACGCUGCAGCCACGUAGAUUUAUGGAUUAUUUAAAAACAUUUAGAAAAACAUGAUUUCUUUUGAACAACAAUGUGAAAUAUUUUUGAAAGUUCACAGAUUUUAUAAAGAAUCACGAAUAAAAAAAGUUCAUGGAUUCAAAAAAAAGUUCACGGAUUUUGAAAAAAAAAGUUCACGAACGUAAACAAAAGUUCAUCAAAUUUUAAAAAAAGUUCGCCGACUUAAAAAAAAGUUCAUCAAAUUUUUAAAAAGUUCACCGACCUCAAAAAGUUCAUCAAAUUUUAAAAAAAGUUCAUCAAAUUGAAAAAAUAUUCAUCGAUUUUGAAACAAAAAGUUCACGGAUUUUAGUAAAAGUUCAUCCUAUUAGAAAAAAGUGCAUCAAAUUUGAAAAAAGUUCAUCGAUUUAAAAAAAUGUUCAUCCAAUUAGCAAAAGUUCAUCGAAUUUGAAAAAUUGUUCAUAAUAUUCGGUGAACUUUUUUGCAUCGAAUUAGAAAAAGGAAAAUAGUUGAAAAAAAGAAAAAAAGAAAAACGAAAAAAAAGGGAUAACAGAAGAAGAAGCAGUCCAUUAUCACAGUAGGUGGAGUGGCUGGCGUGGUUGGCAUGUCUUGCACUGAAGCUCGAAGCGGGGGGUGUGCGCCCUGUACCGUUAAAGCUGUAGCGGGCGCUUAGAGCGCCGUUUAGGAUUUGCCAAUGAGUACGGCUUCACCUAAAAAAAACAAUGAGUACGGCCGGUGUAGCCUCACAGCACAUAUGUGUUGGCAAUUCCUAUUUGACACUCUCAAGCGUCCAACUGCAGCGCUUGCACUGAAGCGUGCGAGCGAGCACCGUCAAAAGGGCCGGCCCACUUUGAGCGUUAAAGCUGUGCCAUGCAAACAAUACUUUUCUUUUGUCGGUCUUUUUUCCUCCUUUCCUUUUUCUUUUUUUACUAUAUUUUUCCUCUUUUUUGUGUCUGUUUCAUUUUUUCUGUUUCUAUUUCUAUUACCUUUAGUUUUCUUUUAUUUUAAAAUUUCAUUUUUUAUACUUAUCCUUCGUUUUCAAAAAAUGUUUGAAAUUCUAAAUUUUGGUCACGAUGUCAAAAGUUGUUCAUGGUUAUCAAAUAUUUUCAAUUUAUAAAAAUUUUCUUAGAAUUCAAAAAUUGUUCAGCGUAUAUCACAAAAAUGUGCAAUAUGUAUUUAAAUAUUGUUCAGUGUAUAUCACAAUAUGGUCAACAUGUAUUUAGAAAUUGUUAAUUGUAUACCACAAAAAAUGUUCUAUGUGUAUUUUUAAAUUAUUCAUCAUAUAUCAUAAAAAUGUUCAGUGUGUUUUAAAAAAUUAUCCAGCAUAUAAUACAAAAAACUUCAAUGUAUAUUUUGAAAUUUCAGCCUGUACAUUUUUUCAUGUUUUUCAAUUUUCUCACUUUUAAUUUUUUUUGCAUUCUAAAUGUUGGUUAAAUUUUGUAUUUUUACGUAUUUAAAGAUUAUUCCAUUAUUAAAAGAAAUGUUUUCCAUAUUUUUCCAAGAACGAUUGGAUUUUUUUGGAAAAAAAGGAUGCCGCCGUAACUAGUGCUUACGUACUCGCACUUCGUUUUAGCCAAGCACGAGUGGCUACAAACUGUGCUUUAUAGCUUGCCGUCGGGAGUACAACUCCACACGCCUGCUUUUAAUUUUUGUGAAGUUUUACAUUCAACGCCUGCAAAUGGGCCGGCUCGUUUGUAUGUCCAUCAGCGAAAGCUCGGCCUAUAGGACCUCUCAUCACUGUUAUCCGUAUCGUAUGGCGGGGCUGCGUUGAAUGGAAAAAUGGUUAUUAAAGCCUCAUUAUUACUGUGUUGUUAGAUUGUUCAUCUAUUUUAGUAUGUUUGCAUUUCCAUUAUAUUUGGUUGUUAUGUUUACAAUCAUAUAAAUAAAUUAGGGAAAUUUUACGGUGCAUUAUAAUACACCAGAGUACGUGUAUUAUAUGGGUGAUCUAACGGAUAACAAUAACUGGGCCUUUUUGAGCCCAUGGGUAUUUUCGACCUAAUUUUUUUACCUUUAAUCGGCCCAAUUAGGUGCAGGGGUAUUCUCGUCCUAAAUUUUUCAAUUAAAUUAAUUACAUUAAUAAAGCACUUCAUUAUAGAGGUCCCAUCAUCGUGCGUACUCUUUUGAAUUUCGGUUCGAGCAGUUCGUCCUCUCUCCUCCUCUCGAGCCCUAACCUCGGGCCCCCUCGAUCGCCUCCGGCGCCCUCGAUCACCGCCGAUCGCCCCCGGCACCCUCGAUCGCCGCCGAUCGCACCCGCCGUGUCUACCCCUCCUGCUCCUACUCCUACCCUCCCCCUCCAUCGCAAGUCACCCCACUCGGGUCGCGGCGCCAGAUCUUCCGACGAGCCGGUAAUCCACUCCUUCCCCGAGCGGACGUCACCUUCCCCGACCCGAGAGGCCACAUCAUCCUCAUCGAUGUGCAUCAACUUUUUCACGCCGGAUCUUCGCUGUAAGUGCCUAGCCAUCUCAAAUCUUUUCUGGUCCCUUCUGCAUAUAGAACCAAUAGGGGUCGGAUUUGAUUCGGGUUUAGGAUAUGUCAUGUGAGGUUUACGGUUUAUCGUUUCAGAAAGUUGUGACGAGAUUUCGGUCGGAUUUGGUUAGGGUUUAGAAUAUGUCAUCUGAGGAUUAGGGUUUAUGUUUUCAGAAAGUUGUGAUGAGAUUACGAUUGAAAGGAAGUGUAAGUCGGAUGUAGCUAGGACAUAUUGAAGGACUUAGUUAGGAUUAUGUGGCAUGAGAAAAUUGUCAGCAGAUUUGGAUUCAAAGAAAGUUAUUUUGGACUUAGUUAGGAAAUACUUUUGAAUUGAGUUUUGAGAUAUUUUGGAUUUAGUUAGGAGAUAAUUAUUUUGUAUGGAGUUUGGACUUAUUUUGGAUUUAGUUAGGAGAUAAUUUGGAUUUAGUUAGGACAUACUUUUGGAUUUUGUUAGGAGAUAAUUUGGAUUUUGUUAGGAGAUAAUUUUGAAUGGAGUUUGGAGAUAAUUGAUCUAUCAGGGUGGAUCUAUCAAGGCAUUUGAAGGACUCGUGGACUUUGCAUUUAGUUAGGAGAUCAUUAGUUAGAGCUAGUACAAUCAAUUACAAAUUUCUGGAUUUAGUCAGGGCAUAUUUACUUAUAGCUUUUGAAGGACUGAGUUAGGUACAUGAAUCCGAUAUGAAAAAUUAAAUCAAUUAUUUAAGCAGAGUAGUGCAUAAUUUCGGUAACGUAUGCUAUCCAUCCGUAACAUUGACUAUCUGUUUUCGCUGGCAGCAUAACGACAUGGAUGAUAAAGACAACGAUGGCAAAAACUUGGGUGAUACAGGCAAGGAUGACAAGGACAUGGGUCAUAGAGGCAACGAAGGCAAAGGCAUGGAUGAUAAGGACAAUGAUUUCGUAGCCAUGGACCCGAAAGGAAUGGAUGGUGUGUGCAUGGAUGAUAAGGAUAAUGAGGAUGCAGGCAAGGAUGGCAUAGACAUGGAUGAUGUACACAUGCAAGGUAAAGGAACUGAUAAUAAAGGCAUGGCUGGUUCAGACCUGAAUGAGUGUAUGGAAUACUUAGAGAUUGUGAAGACGACGUUCAGGACUGAGGAAGAAGCCUACAUGUUCUAUGUAGGCUAUGCGAGAAAAAAGGAUUUGGUGUUAAAAAGGAUGAUCUGAAGUACAGGGGUCCGGGUCCGAAACAAAAUGCAUACAGAAGGACAUACAAGUGUUGCAAACAAGGAUGGCGGGCCCUUAAGCACUUUAACAGAGCUGAAAGAAAAAGAACACCGAGGGGUCUUUCUCGGUGUGAGUGUCCUGAUCUUUUUCAGGUUGAGCUACAAGAUAGCAGUGGCCUCUGGUUCGUCAAGAAUUUUGUGGACAAGCAUAACCAUCUGUUUGUCCAUGCUGACCUGACUCCGUACUUAUCGGCUCAUCGUAGAAUGACUGACGCACAAAAGGCCGAUGUCAUCGAGUAUGCUGUCGGUGGACUUCGAACACAUCAGAUUAUGAAUGUAAUGGAGAAGAAUGCCGGAGGUCCUGACAAGCUUGGAUUUAUAGAUCGAGAUCUAUACAACCAUGUUUUAGUCCAGAAGAAGCGCAAGAUAGAAGGCAGUGACGCUAGAUAUUUGCUCACCUAUAUGAUUGCAGAGAAAAAAGCAGACCCGGAAUUCUUUUUCAAAUACACAAAAGACAGCGAAGGCCAUUUGAGGAACAUAUUCUGGGCUGAUUCACAAUCCCAGAUUGACUAUGUUGCCUUUGGUGGUGUCGUGGUGUUCGACAGUACAUACCGGUCUAACAAGUACAGAUUUCCGUUUGUUCCAUUUGUUGGUCUGAACCAUCACCGCAGCACAGUUUUGUUUGGGGUCGGUCUAGUGUCAGACGAGACAGUUGCAUCAUACCAGUGGCUUCUUCAUGUAUUUUUGGAGGCAAUGUCCCAGAAAGCACCGAUUUCAGCAAUCACCGAUGGGGACGGUUCAAUGGCUAAAGCAAUAGCUACUGUCUGGACUGGAACAGAUCAUCGUUUGUGCACGUGGCAUAUCGAGGAGAAUAUGGUGAUGCACCUCCAUGAGAAAAGCUGGAGGAAUUUAGGGAAUUCAUUUACCGUCGUUGGCAUGUUGAUGAGUUUGAGAAAAGAUGGGAGGCUUAUAAGGUUCGGUUCAAAAUAAAACCAACGGGGAAGAGGUCGUCAUGGGUUAACAGGAUGUACGAGCUGCGACACAAAUGGGCUGCUGCGUACACAAAGGGUAGAUAUUUCCUAGGCAUGAUGAGUAAUCAGAGGAGUGAGUCUCUCAACUCAAGGCUUCAUGUGCACCUGAACAGGAAGAUGCAGCUUGUUGAUUUGUUGCAGCAUGUUGAGCACUGUGUAUCCAUAACGCGUAAGAAUGAAGCAGCAUUAGACGCAGUAGCAACACAUACGAUACCCUUCACUAAGAUGAAUGCACACCCUCUAGAGAUUUCUGCCUCUUAUAUUUAUACAACUGUGAUGUUUCCAAAGGUAAAGCGCCAGAUUGUCGAAGGGACAAAUUGGCAGGUCAUGGACCGGGUAGCAUGUGAUGGUUUGGUCGUGUUUGGAGUUUUGCGCAAAGCCCCAUAUGAUAAAGUCCCAUAUGGAAGGGAUGCUAGAGAAUUGCAAGGUAAGGAAGGUAAGUAUGCUGAGGACUUGCAUGCAAAAAAAUUGGAUGCUAAGGAUCCCAAUGACUUGGAAGGUAAGGAUGAUGAGGACUUGCAUGCAAAAAACUUGGAUGCUGAGGAUCCCAAUGACUUGGAAGGUAAGGAUGCUAAGGACUUGCAUGCAAAAAACUUGGAUGCUGAGGACCCCAAUGACUUGGAAGGCAAGGAUGGUGUGGACUUGCAUGCUAAAAACCUGGAUGCUAAGGAUCCCAAUCACUUGGAAGCUAAGGACAGUGAGGAGUUGGAUGCAAAAAAGUUGGAUGCACAAGGCGUGGAUGCUAAGCCUAUGGAUUUUAUCUACCACGUGACUUGUCUGUUUACAGGAGCAAGACUGGAUGAUGCAGCUUGUAAAUGUAAAAAGUUGGAAAGUCAGGAUUACCCAUGCGCACAUAUAUUCUGCGUUCUGGAUCAUCUUGGUGUACGCACAUUUUCAAAAAAAAUUGUCAAGAAAAGAUGGACAAUGCAUGCCAAGCCAGCGUUCCCUUCUUCGAGGACUGCGAAUACUCAUGUAUGGUCUGAUCACAUGAAUAAGUAUCAUCAACUAUGCAACAUGGCUAGUGACGCUUUAUUCACAGCCGCAGCUAGCGAUUCACACUCAGAACAGGUGAUGGAGCUCCUCCGGAGUAUAUUGGUUGAUGGAGAAAAAACUGAUUUGGAUGAAGGCCAUAAAUCGUUUGUUCCUUUGUCGGCAUACUUCUCUGCUGCUCACGAAUGCUGCACUGAUGACGUGGAAAAUCCAAUCAAAAUAGUUCCAAAAGGCAGACCAACUACCGAAGAAUCGAACAAGAGGAUUAAAUCCAGGCGCGAGCGGAUGAGAGGGAAAAAAAGCAACGAAGUUAGUGCACAUGUUUAUCUCAUUGUUCAUUUCCAUACAUGCUUACAAUGUUAAUAUGUUCUCUCUUUUUCUUCAAUUUACUCAGGAACAAAUCGGGGAAAUCAAAGGUCACAAGGAGGAAGAAGCGAAAAGAGAAAGACUCAGAGACAGAAGAAGACACAGAUUCAGAUAUAGAAGAAGAGGAAGAUUCAAAAAAAGCAACGACGUUAGUGCACAUGUUAAUCUCAUUGUUCAUUUCCAUACAUGCUUACAGUGUUAAUAUGUUCUCCCGGAGAGUGUUCACAUGUUUUUCUUCAAUUUACGCAGGAAAAAAUCGGGGAAAUCAAAUAGCACAAGGAGGAAGAAGCAAAAAAGAAGAGACAGAGUCUGAUACAGAAGAAGAGACAGAGGCAGAUACAGAAGAAGAGACAGAGGCAGAUACAGAAGAAGAGGAUGAUUCAGGUACAAAACAAGAGGAAGAUUCAGAUGCAGAAGAAGAGGGAGAUUCAGAUGCAGAAGAAGAGGGAGAUUCAGAUGAGGAAGAAGAGGAAGAUUCAGAUGCAGAAGAUGGUGGGCUGAGGAGGGCUAGAAAGAGACCAUUGGAGGUUGCAGAAGAGGAUUACACAAAACCAAACAAGUGGGCAUUAGCACAAUUGUGCGUACUUAAACAUGUUUUCGAAUGCUGGCUGCAGAUUCAUCUAUUUCAUUUUUUGCAGGAAACGCAAGGGCACUCCAAAUGUCAAUGCUGGGAGGACAAAAAAGAACAAUGACAAGGGUGCGCGAGGAAAACCAGUGAAGUUAGUGUCUGUACUUACAUGUCCGCUCUAGAAGUCGGGUAUUUGCUAGUACUGUGUUGACGUUUCUUAACUUUUCCAGGAAAAACUCUAGUAAGGGUGGUAAAGAACAGGCCAAAGGGGUGAUGAAGACAAAAAGGCCUGCUAGGAAUGUACCACAGGCUGAGCGAAUAAGAGUUGUCAAGUUAGCUUCUAUAGCUAUGAAGAGAAAAUCAGUGAAGUUAGUGUUUUUUCUGUUAUAGUGUACUGUACAUGCUCAAAUCUUCUUUGCUAUCCUAUUAACAAACGUUGUUUCAUGCAGGAAAGCUAAAGUGAAGUCGAGACAGGAUCUUUAGAUGCACAGGGUCAAGCAGAGAAAACAAAAGGAUUUCUGUGGUCGAAAAAUUGAGAACAAACUAAAGUAGACAGUUUUCCAUGCCGUGAUCCACCUUGUUUCUCAUGUAUUAGACCUAUUUGAUGGAUUGCCACUAUUUUUUGAAUUCCUCGUUUGAUUGGUACACCCUAAUUUUAUUAUGGACGGGUCGACAUGGUAGGCUAGUUAUGAUUUAUCAACAUUGAUGAAACAAUGCAUUUUUAGUGAAGUUGGUUUUCUGUAUUUUUUUUUCAUUUUUUCACAUAAUAUAUUGCUGAAAUUUGUUCAAAGUGUAGUCAAAUUUCAUACUUGAAAUAUAAAAUUGAAACCGAAAAUUUAUAUAUAUAAGAAAAUAGAACGUUAAUAGAAACCUCGUUUUCAAAUAACAUUGAAAAUCGUUUAUUUUCAAAUAGAAAAUAAGCAUACUGAUAUUUUAAAAAUAGCAUGCUCAUUUGAAAAAAGCAUGUUCAAUUGAAAAUAAAAUAUAAUGAAUAUGCUGAUUUAAAAAUAGCAUGUUGAUUUUAAAAAUAGCACGUUACUUUUAAAAUUAUAAUGCUCUUUUCAAUAUGCUACUUUUAAAAUAACAUGCUGAUUUAAAAAAUAUCAUGCUAAUUUUAAAAAUAGCAUGGUACUUUUAAAAAUAUAAUGCUCUUUUCAAUAUGCUACUUUUAAAAUAGCAUGCUGUUUUCAAAAAUAUCAUGCUAAUUUUAAAAAUAGCAUGCUUAUUUUAAAAAUAUAAUGCUCUUUUCAAUAUGCUACUUUUAAAAUAGCAUGCUGAUUUCAAAAAUAGCAUGCUGAUUAAAAAAUCAUGUUCUUUUGAAUAUGUUGUUUUUAAAAAUAGCAUGCUGAUUUCAAAAUAACAGCCUCAUUCUAAAAAUAUAACGCUGUUUUAAAAAAUAUAACGCUGUUUUCAAACUGAUUUCAAAAAUUACAUGCUUUUUUAAAUAUGUUGUUUUGAAAGCAGCGUGCUGAUUUUGAAAACAUCAUAUUUUAAUUACGCUUUUUAAAAGGUAGCAUGUUUUUUAGUAUAUACUGUUUUUCAAAUUAAAAAAACAUCAUUUUGAAAAUAGCAUGCCAUCUCGAAAGUAACAGAAACAUCAUUUUUUGCAUUGCAUUUCGACCCACAAGUUUUUGUUUUGCAUUGCAUUUUUUUGUGCGACAUACAUACAAACCGCAUUUUCAAAAUAACUCAUACUAGCCAACACAAAAACCUCGUUCAAAAAUGAAAGUAGUGUCUAAUCCAUUUGAAACCCGGUUAGAUUUGAUUCUAAAAAUACUAGCAUCACUGUGGCCAAAAAAAGGAAAUAUAAUUGCAGUCCAUAAAAGUAAUUAUAUCAAGGAGGGUACCAGGGUGCGUUAUAUAUAUAGACUUGCAUAGCAAGUACAUUACGCCACAUAGGGUUCAUACUACCACCAAGUUACUGCCAAGUUCCACUUACUGGACGAUCUUCAUAUACAGUCGGACCCAAAAGUUAUACCACCAAAGUACCAGUUACUACCAAGUACCAAUUACUACUAAGUUGCACUUACUGGACCCAAAAGCUGAUAUUACCAACUUGCAGUUACUGGCUAGUACAUACAGAUUAUAAAACUAGCGUCAAACUACUGCCAUGGGUCAACGAAUCCUCAUGCCACUAACCAUGUUCACCCUAAGCCCACCUCCACUCCUUUCCAUGAACCUGAAGAUAGCCAUUUGAUCUUCUUUCAUUCUGGAGCCCUCAACGACUUCUCUCCAGUUCUUCGUCAUGAUCGCAUGCCCGUCCUUCUUGCCCAUCUUGAACAAGACCUUUUUAUUACCUUCAAAAUGUUCGUUGGUGACACGCACAACCAUGGGCUUUCACACAUAAUCUUUGAGGUAGGCCUGACUGUAAUCCUUUGAGAAGCACUGAUUGCACAGGGAAAUAAAUAAUGUUACAUAAAAAAUGAAGUAUGAUUUACACACAAAAAAAGUAAGUAUGAUUUGCACAACCACGCCCGUCCUCCUCUCUGUCUCUACAUGAUGGCAUUUUCACUAGUGAAGUAUGAUUUGCAAAAAGAAAAGUCCAAGUGUUUACCAUCUUGCUCUUCCCUCUGAUGACUGUCGAGCGAGUGACGGUGCUGACAUAGUAUGGUAUGGGAAUGGUAUGGGAGGUUGGCACUGCUUUACUAUGGAUUUGAGACAGUCCCACCGAUCCUCGUUUAGCGAUACAUGGUUGCCGUAGAAGAUGCGAUCCUCGAAAGUUCCUUUCUCACAAGGUAUCCCGGACCUGUAUCAAAAAAAUUAAGAUGACAGAGUAGUAAAUAAUUUCAUACGUAAGAUCUAGAACAUCAGCACUGGGUUAAUGAUCAACGCCUACUCCAAUGAUCAAGAAAUGAAGGACAUAGAUAACCCAAUUACAUCCACCCAGCAAUAUCUCGUAGAAACAUGGGCAAAUUGAAUAUUUGAUUUAUUUAAACUAACAACUAAACACUGCUCUAUGUAAGCUCUAGUUCAGUCAAUGUUGAUUUGGAAGGUCAUCUAGAACCCAAACAGAGUAAUGUGUGGUAAUCAAGUGUCACUCAAACAUCAACUUUCGAUAUUUCACGGUUCAUUUAAUAUCUGACCAGCCAAAUAGAACUUUACCCCGUAGUGCCAAGAUAGGAUUAUGGUCCACAUCUCCAUCUCCAUCAGAACUAUCAUCAGUGUCAUAGUCGCUAGAGGUGUCGUCAUCACCGCUAUAGCCGCCACUCCCACGUGAAGUGCCAUAUGAAGCAUCAUCUGAGGUGGUCCGGUGAUCCCUCUCUUCACUGCUGAUGAGGAUGGUUUCCCUUGCCAUUCAAACCUGUUGCAUGCAUUGCAAUGAACAAAUGUUAGUUAUUGAUAUAUGAAAUCAGUCUUCCAUUAGGACUUGUUAGCACCAUAUACAAUGUGAAUAAUCUUUUCGCAUACUUCUUGCUAAGUACGUAGUUCAUGUAUAAACAUCUACACGAAAAAGCUAGUCGACAACUAUUCGCACGACUAGUCAAGACUAGUGGUUAGACUCAUAAUCAUUGGGCAGACAUAACCAAUUAGGAUAUUUCAAGGUUACCAUUUUGUGAACUGGACAAAAACUUGGUAACCAACCAAUUAGUAGCCAUGUAAAAAUGAACCAUGAUUGACUGCUCUCAUCGAGCAAUACGUGAAACUAUAACUGGUCUGCCUUUGAUCACUGCAAAUUUCCUGAUGGGCUGUUGUGUGGUACCAUCAGGUAAUAAAUAUAAAGUCUUUAAAUUGUCCCAACAAAACAAAUAAUGCAUUUGCUGCUGUACAUAACAUUUUUAGAGGUAGCUGUGGAGGUUAAUUUUCCAAUUUCCAGUGAGAAUAAGGACAUGAUAGAAUCUCUCAAGCAAGAUGACAGCAUAGUGAAGGCUAUGAGAACGAGCAAGGUAUGCUGACCAAUAGUCACCCUUUUUGUAUACUUGCUAUUUAUUUACUCAUUACUACCCAUACCAACAAGUAAAAUCAUGAUUAUGAAGUAUAAUGGCAGAAAAUCCAACAGUGAGGAAUUUGUUGCAAUGUGUACUACUAGCUCAUAGGAAAUUUUCAUUGACCCUAACAAGCCCAUACCAUAUCUUGGAGAUAGGCUGACAUAAUUCAAGCAAGCAGUUACAACAAUCAGCAAAAAUAUGCACCAACCAAAAAUAUUACAUGUGUGCACAUAUCAUCAAAAACAUGCACCAAUCAAGAGCAGUCUAUACUUGACAAAUCCUUCAAAAUAUGCACUAAUCAUCAUACUACCAUCGAGUAAUACAUGAAACUAUAACUGAUCCUCAUUCCAUCAUUAAAAAUUUCCUCAUGGAUUGCUUCUGUGCUCGCCUUUUUAGUUUUUAAUAACUAAGCAUCAGCAAAUACAUAUACACAGUCUUCAAACUAUCCCAACAAACCAAAACAUGUGUAUGCUCCUGUGAAUAUACUUUUUCUAUAUCUAGCAGUGGGGGGCCAUUUUCCAGGGGGAAAAAGUACUUGAUAGCAUCUGUCAAGCAAGAUGAUAGCAUAGUGAAGGCUAUGUCGACGAGCAAGGUAUGUUGGCCAACACCCACCUUUUUCUCUUACUUGCACGAAAGUGUUUACCCAUUACUACCCAUACGAACAAGUAAAACCAUGAUUACGCAGUACAUUGUAAGAUUAUCUUGCUGUAAAAUUACUUGUUGCAAUAUGACCUACUAGUUGACAGUAAAUCUCCGAAUACCCGAAACAUGCACACAAGCAAGUGUCAGAUUUUAGCUUGGGCGGUGCUGCUAGAUCACAAAAAUAAGGUAAGAUCGACAUUCGAAGGGCAGGGAAGAUCAAUCUUACCUGCAAAGUGGUACCAGAUGGGGCUAGAGUAGACUUGUUCGAAGCUGGCACCACCGGAGCUUCGGGCGGCGCGACCAGGAUUGGGGAGAAGAGGUGCCGUUGUCGAACCUUGCUGUCGACGAAGCAGUGGAGAAUCGUGGCCGGAGCAGGGGGAGUGGUGGCCUCGCGGAUCCGGUCGAUUUGACGACGACGGGGGCGGCCAAGGUGACGGCUUGGCAAACCCUAGCCGUCGCCCUCCGCGUCGCCUCUCUGUCUCUGCAAAGAACGAAGUAUGGUGGGAUUGGGAAUGGGGGUGGGGUUGGGGUUGGGGCCAUCGCUCGCUUUUCUCUCUGCCUCCCACUUGUGCAGGCCCACAAAAGGAACAAAGUGUUAGGCUGGAUCAGAUGCAGAUUUGGCAGCUUUACUAAUUCUGGCCAAACAGAAAAGAUCAGCAUGACAACAGGUGUUCUUUUGAAGAAACCCUAAAAAUACACUAUUGUUCAUAUUGCAUGUGGGUGAGUCUUUCAGUACACCAAUUGAUCUUGAAUAAUUUUAAGCACCCCACACUAUAUAUAUAUAAAAAUAAUGGUUAACCAAUAAAAUGGUAAACUAUUAGAAGCAAGGUUACAAAUAUUUGAAAAAAUCAAUAAUUGAAUUGUAUGCACUUUUAUGAUUAAAUUUAAUAAAUGUAACAUUUUUGCAAAAACUAUGAUAAUUAAAAUAUUCAUUGGUAUUUUCAAAAAAAAACAACCGCAAAUGACUACUUAUGCCAACAAGAACUUCUUCAGGGUUUCGUUUAUUCAUCUAUUCUUUGGCAUGCUCGUUCUCAUAACGCCUUCUUCGGACCUUCUCUUUGUCCGACAAAUUCCUGAGAUAUUGGGCUAGCGCCUUGUGUUUCGCCCUCACACCAUGCUUCAUUUGGUAUCCUUUGGCAACUCCUUCGGCGUGCUCAAGAAUACUAACGAAAGCCGGGUCCAGAUAUUUGCAUCAGAACGCGCAACGAUACGCCAUACGCUUAAGCACGUUGCACUGUCCAUUCUGCAAUUCUUCAAGGGUUUUCUGAGUGUGCGCAUCCAUCUCUCCUUCGGAAAUGUCCGCAUAAUCAUGAGAAUAAGGAUGCAAGUUUAAAUUAUGUAUGAUAUAAGCUGCACCAUUGUUUACAGUACCUAAUAUUCCCUAAGUUUCAUACUGUAGUGCCUAUAAAUUAUUUUUAAAGUAAAUAUUUAUUAACUUUGAAAAUUUAAGGAGAAAAAAGCAAUAUCAAAUUGAUAUGAAAGCAUAAAUCAUAUGAUGUACUUUUAAAAAAAUUGUCAAUAAAAUGCACAACCUUUAUGAUGUCUGACUUUUAGCAUAAAACCAAAACGCUCUAAAUUGUGGAGUGGAUCGACCAUUAAUUUCUCAAAGAUUGAUUGAAUAAAUAAUGAUCAUUACGUACCGAUGAUCAACAUUAUAUUUAGAGCUAGAUUCCAUUAUGCCAAUUCAACAAUGUAUUGAUGGUUUAAUGAUUAACCUCUAACCUUAAACUUGAAGACAGAUCUAGGGUUAAAAAAUUAAAAUUACCGUAACGGAAUUACAGUCCAUGAUGUGCAUGUGCUGCUGCUUGUGAUCGACGACGGAGUACUGCACCUCGUUGACACGAUGCUUCUCUGGGUCGGACACCGAGUAGUCCAAAGCUUUCUCGUGGGGAUCCUAAUCCAUGCGAUGGACGACGUUGGUGGUUAGCCCCGCAAGUCCACGAUCUGUCACGACGGUGUCCAUGAUAGGCCCCUCACGUCCAUGGCCACGAUCUGUCACGACGGCCAAUCGACCUCCACGAGUGGAUUUCAUAUCCGGCGGCAGGGAGGCGGGCGUGUGAGCGGCGGCGAUGGUUUUAGAGCGUACCCUAGGGGGAGAGAUGCGGGGAGUAAUUGGUAGUUACCUACUAUAGCGGAAAUACUUAUGAGAAAAAUUGAUUGGUCGGUGUUGGGCACCUUCAAUGCAGCGGCGCUUAUUUAGGCGCUUAAUUAGGAUCCUGGAAAAAAAUCACAAGCGUAGGUGCUUGGGGCAGGAGCUAGGAACUGGAUUUUGUACAUCUACGUGACGCAAUCCAAAGAUCGUGUCCGGGGUGGAUGGGUUGGGGUGAAAAUUGUGUACAUAAACCCUAAUGCUCAAGACUUGUGAAAACAUCAGAUCAAAUUGUCAUCAAGUGAUCUAGUAUUACUUGGAUCGAUACUUUGUGAUCAUCAUGUAGCCACGCCAUAAACACGAUGGUUCUAGUAUUACUUGGAUCAACACCUUAGGCAGCAAACUAGUGCAUUUCCUUUUUGAGUCUCCAUCUUCCUUCUUGAAAACCACAUGUACACACUCAUCAUGUAUACCGUAACACAUUAGAAUCUGUUAACGAGCGCUCACAAGCUUAACUAGCUUCAAAUGAACCUAGCCAAUCAGGGUUUUAUGCUACUUAAUCUAAAUGAGUCGAUGAUUAAUGAGCACGAGUUUAACAAGCAGAGAUGCCAAACCACACACCAAUUAACAUAGUUCUACCUUAGUUCAACACUUCCAUAUAUACAAAAGCAAGCACCACUCAGUAGUACUGGUGCACAUAGUUCGACCAUAAAUGUUCACCAACAAAGUAUAGCAUAGGGUAGUACUUAGCAUAGUUAAAACCAAAAGAGCAUAAGUUCUAGCUGCGAGGGCGCGCACUUCCCUAAAGCCUCAAAGAAGCCUCAUCAAGUACUCGGCAUACGCGGCGUGCUUCACCCUAAAAUCGUAGCCAUUCUUGAUGCUUCCUUGGGAUGUUCCGACUGCAUGGUUGAUGGUACUUCUCAGGUCGCCUUUCAUCAGCUUGUUGCAGUAAGGGCAUCUGUAGCCCCCCUUUCCGAUUCUUGGCCUGACACGUUUCUCGAGCACACCACUGUCCAGCUCCCUCACCUUCUGCCUCCUGUAGAUCCUCUGGGUUUCUUGGUCACUGUCGACGUCGUCACUUAGGACCUACAUGUAGUACCAAAUGUUGCGUAAGUAUAUCUAAUAUGAGAAUUCAGCAGGCACAGAGUCUAUGAAACAUAAUGUAAUUGAUGACAGCGUAAAAUAUCUUCAAAUGAUGUUGAAAAAAUAAAUGCAUAACUUAUUAGUUGGUACAUAAGCAACUAAAUGGGAUAGUACCAUAUACUAAAAAAAUUGAAGGAUCAACCAUACAUGUCGAAGAGAGCACUAGCAUUGCCACAUUAUGCCACACAUUUUUCCCAAGCUUGCCUAUGGUUAGUUCAUCAAAAUGAGAGCCACAAGUUGGCAAGCCUAAGGGAACCUUGCCACACUUUUUGUGUGUAUGCCAUGUGGGACCCAAGUGUGGCUUGCCUAAGGUGUGGCUGGAACCAAACACUCACUUAAGUUGGUCAAACCUUAGGUAUGGCAAUCUUUGGCAAAGUUAGUCACAAACCAAACAGCCUUUAGUGCAACAAAAUUCACUUGUUACGUAAAAAUGCAUGAACUGAUGAUGUAACAUGGCAGAGCAGCAUACAGAUGUACUAAUGCAAAAAAAAGACUUAUAACUUACAUGCAUGACUAGAUAAAAUAGCUCGUGAGCUGUAUCUAUUUAGGGUUAGAAUUUUGUGUGCUUAUGAUGAUGGAUAUUGAAAGUCCACAUGUUAUCGUCGUGGAAGUUUCCCCUGUUGAUCGAUACCCCACCCAUCAAUGUUCCUGAACCAUUCAAUGUUCUAGGUAAAGUAGUUAAUUAUUAUGAAUUCUGACAAUAAGUGAUCCCAAAUGUUGUACUUACAAAAAAGGGUUUUUAUCAUUUAUGCCACCAGUUGUGUCCCACAACUAAGUAUCACCAGUAGGAAUUUCUACUGCUAAAAAAAGCCAUCGCUUCGUUAGACACAUGCUCAAAAAUGCCACUGCACAUCAUUAUUGUGAUAUCAAAUCUAUCUUGACAUGCCAUAAUGGCAUCAAUACGUAUGGACCAACAUGCCAGCUCUCCCUCUAUCUCACUACAAUAAAGUGUGGGCCCACUUGAUCCCAACAGUGUUCUUAUUUUCCUGUAAAAUUAUUCGCUUACUUACUCCUCACAAGUGGGGCCACACUUAUCAUUGUGAGAUAGAGAGAACUGAAAUGUGGGCCAGGGUUUUUUUUGUCAUAUUGGAUGGUCAACAAGUUUUAAAUGAAAAUAACAAUGUCUAAUGGCAUUAUUGAGCAAACAUCUAACGGAAGGAUGGCAUUUUUGAUACAUCUAAUGGCAUUUUUUAGUAAGCAUCUCAUGAAUCGAGGACAUUUUUGAGCGGCUGUAACUUCUAAGGGAAAAAUUGAGUAGUGGGAUACAACUGGUGGCAUAAAUGAUAAAAACCCUACAAAAGAACUAAUUAAAACAACUCAAGUAAAACAUUGAUGAUAUCCAAUUUCUUUCUAAAAUAGCCAUUGCUUAGAGAUAAUCAAUGUUUAAAAUCAUUGCCACAGCCACUUAUGGAAUAUUUAAACCAAAGAUCGAUCAAGUGCAACCAAACAUGUACUCAACAUUUUAAUACCUUAUUUGCCUUGUACUGACCAGAGAAAACCUAGGAUAUUACAAAAUAAAUAAAUAAAGGGGAUAGAUGACUAACCUCUUCUUCGUUCUCGUUGGUGACGACCACAGGUGGGGGCAGGGAAAGCAACAACCGCGGCAGACGAACACCCGGAUGAGGCUGAGGAGCCACCACCUGCUCCGGCAGAGGAGCCAGAGGAGCUACCUGUUCCGGAUUAUUAGCAGAAUAAUUUAUAUAGGUCAAAAAGUGACAUAUACAUGCCUCAAUAAAUGUAAUCUAGCUACACAGUUGCGUAUCCAGGAUUUCAUACUUGGGUGUUCAAUAAUUUAUAUUGCAAACUAAAACCACAACAAUAUUUUUCAAAUGGAGGGAGUAAUAUCUAAAAUUUUCAUGUGAAAAGAUUCUUAGUCCAUCGUAAUGACAGUACCAUGAAUGACAAAAAAUGAAGAUUAUUUACUUCAUGACCAUACAAUAUGACAUUUUCAUAGACAAGGCAUGGUGUUGUUAUCCUUAAGUUGCAGAAAAUAUUUUCACAAUCACCUACGUAGGCAAUUCAAUUCCAAGGUCAAGCUACGUAUUUGUAUUAGCACAGUCACCAAACCUAGGUGGAUUUAUUAGCAGAAUAAUUUAUCUAGAUCAAAAUAUUGCCUAUACAGGGCUCAACACAUGUAACCUAGCUAGUUACCUAACACAUCUACAAAAUAUUGAUAUGGAGUCCAUCGAUCAAAGAUAAAAAGAAACCCUGGCCUUCCCCAAAAAUAGAGAAAAGGACUGACCAGAGCACACCUAGGAUUUUACAAAAAACUAAAGGAGAUAGAUGACUAACUUCGUCUUUGUUGACGUCGCCGGCGACCACACGCUCGGGCACCGGAGGCGUCACCCGCGGCAGAGGAGACACCUGCUCCGUCUGAGGAGCGAGAGCAGCUACCGGGCCCACAUAAAUGGCUGUGCAAGGACAGUUUCAUGCCGGUCAAGUACCAUAUAUAAGAAAUUUCGGCCAAAAAAAUUCGGGUGCAGUACUGUACGUCUGUACCGGUGCUGCUGCUAUCAAAAUUUGGCAUCAACACAUUUUGGAUGCACGAGAACCAUGAGAUCCGAGUGGUUGGUAGAUGUUAAAUAAAGAUAACCUAUACAAUGAGGAGCCGACCCCCACACCCAUGCACCCAUGUGGAUCCGCCCUGAAACCUAACGGAUCUAGCGAAUCUAGGUUGACACCUAGGAUUGGCCAGAGCACACCUAGGAUUUUACAAAAAAUUAAAGGAGAUAGAUGACUAACGUCUUAUUUGUUGACAUCGCCGAUGACCACAGGCUCGGGCAUAGGAGGCGUCACCUGCUCCGUCUGAGGAGCCAGAGCAUCUACCUGGUCCCACAUAAAUAGCAGAAUAUUUUAUAUAGAUCAAAAAAUGUCAUAUACAUGCCUAAACUAAUGCAACCUAGCAACACAACUUCGGAUCCAGGAUUUCAAAGUUGGGUGUUCAAAAAUUAAUAUUGCAAACCAAAACCGCAACAAUAUUUUUCAAACGGCUGAGAUCAAGUUGGCUUUUGAGUCUAGAAGGCAUUCUUCUGCCUCUGCUUCUGUUACUCAAGAAAUUAAAGAGUUAGGAGUAAUAGCUAAAAUGUUCAUGUGAAAAUAUUAUUUUUCCAUCAUACUGACAGUACAGACAUGAAUGACAGAAAAUGAAGAUUAUUUAGUAUGACAUUUUCGUAAACAAGGCAUGGUGUUGUUAUCCUUUACUUGCAGAAAAUAUUAUGCUAAAAAUAAGCAACCAAAUAAUAUAUUUCAAGUAGGGAUGAUAACAAGUCAAUAAUAUUACAGCCUAUGGUAAUUGGACUCCAGGAAUCAAGCAAUUGGUGUUGAGCAAAUUGAACGACAAAAAAUGUGUCUGCUGGAUUAAGCGUAAGAGGCUAGUUUUAUACAAAUUGACAUGAAGUUUAGUGCAUAAACUACAACACUUUUAGUCCAUUUACCAAUAAAAGAACCAUAUAUAAGAAAUUUCGGGCAAAUAAUUUCGGGUGGUUGGUAGAUCUAUCUUAAAAUUUGGCAUCAACACAUUCUGGAUGCACAAGAGCCAUGGAUCGGAGUGGUUGGUAGCUCUUAAAAACAAGAUAACCUAUACAAUGAGGAGCCGACCCCCACACCCAUGCACCCAUGUGGAUCCGCCCUUGAAACCUACCGGAUCUAACGAAUCUAGGUACGGAUCUCAUAGAUGGAAGAAAAGCAGAAACCCUAGCCAUGCCCAAAAAUAGAUAAGGGACUGAACAAGGAAACCUAGGAUAUUUCCUAAAAUAGGACUGACCUCUUCUUCGUCGUCGUCGCCGUCGACGUUGACCACGGGCUGCGGCAGAGGAGGCAGAUGGCGUGGCAGAGGAGUCACCUGCUCUAGCGGAGGAGCCACCUGCUCCGGCGUAGGUGACACCUGCACCGGAGCCUGGACGUGGUCGACGACGUCACGGCCGCCCUGCUGCCGGCUGGACCCCUCGCCGGCGGGGAGGGGUUUCUCCAUGUGCAGCUUCGCACGGCGCUUGGAUGCUUCGUGCGCCAUGGCGUCGGCCCUCCCUCCCAUGGUGCGCUUGGGCAUCUCGACGGCGGAGGUGCAGCGGCGGGAAGGGAGCAGCGGCAGGAAGGGAGCAGCGGCGGGGUGGGCAGGCGAGUGGUAAGGCGUGGGAGGAGAAAACCCUCGUAUUUGUGGAUGGGGAAGAGGACGGGAAGAGGGGGCGGCGAUGAGAUAAAUGCUAAUGGGGAAGCGGAGCGUGCUAUGGGGAAGCGGAGCAGCCGAUUUAGUCCUGGGCAGUCAAAAGGAGUUGUUGCCAUGUUCACACCUCCCCGUGCGUUGUUCACACCAUCACGUCUUGCCACGUCAAAACGUAACUUCUCACUUCUCACUAAAAUGAAUAGCCCGAUCGUGCACAGCCAUGAUUUAGGAGUAAUGCAACUUCCCUUCAAAAAAUUGUGUAAUGCAACUGCUCCCUCAUUACACAGAACAAAGUCAUAUAGUGGGACAACUGAAUUUGUAGGCUUGUUUCAUCUGCACGUGUCAUGUUUUUUAUUUGUCCUAAAAUAUGUUGUAAAACUUUACAGACAAUGGAAUGGCAAAUGGAUGUGACAAAACUUCGUCAGCAACCGCGCGGAUUCGUCUGCCAUAUAUCCGAUGUCCGGUACCGAGGAGGGGAAUGUUGAUCCACGCGAUGCCAUGUGUUUCGUCUGGACCCAUAUCAUGCACCCCGAGCCAACCGGGCCAAAACAUGCGCCGCUAGCCUUCUCGAUCCAAACAACGAGCUAGUGUCCACCAUGCGCAGAGAUGCUCAUGUGGACAGGUUUGCUAGCACUAGUGAAUGACGUCGGAUCUCGGUGUGCAAUAUGUGUAGCCGCAUGUCUCUUUGGCAUGCCUGGCAUACCGAAGGGACUCGUCGAAGGUCCAACGAACUGCGGUGGGGUCAAUGCUGGAUGUAUGGUGUGGGUCAACCUGGCUAACGGUGCAUGGUUUGAGUUUAGGUGGCUAGGUUUGCAUGGCUGGGGGGCUAGAUGGCAAAUGAGUGCGCAUGUGUCAUCUGUACAUUGUCAAGGUUGAAUGGUGGUUGUCUACGUGGCCAUGCGUGCAUGCAUGGUGUGGGUCCAGUUUGCGUUCGGCGCACGGGAUGUGCUUUGGUGGGUAGGGCCCACAACUUGCGGCAUAGAGUUCUGAAGCAGAUGAAGGGGCGGGCCCCGGUCUUCGUCCACAAGCAGGACUUGUUCCCUAUCGAUGGCUAGCUCCGGGAUGCGUUUUGGUCUCGUUUACACACAACCUAUGUGAAGGCUUAUGCGUGCCGCUCUCGAUGUUCGACCACACCCACACCGCGAAAGGUCCCAAUAAAUUUGGAUCCUUCAUGAAUUUGCACGGAUUAUAGUGGCGGCAGACGAGACCCGGCAUUUUUUGCCCUUAACAAUGGCUCUGAGGCGGCCCUGCCCAUUGGUCGCACAUGGCACAUAUAUGGACCAGAGCUUAGCAUGGAACUGUCACCCCCAAUCCCUGCUGUGAUUUCAUGUGGCCGCGGUAUAGAUCCCAAAUUUCCGAGGAUACUGCCCUAGAAAUGCGGCAAAUGUCCCGAAUAUGGCAAGCGCGGGCUCCGAGAAAGGCCGGGACCUUGCAUGCGCUUUUGAAUUGUUCUCCGUUGACCCGAGAGAGAGCAUCGACGAAAAUGGAGGAACAGGCCCGCAUUCAUUGCGCAAACCGGACACGUUACCUCAAGGUAGCUAGAUCCAAACCAUGCACCCCCGCCGUCUAGACCCACGUGGUGCACCACUUAGACACUAGACCCACAUCACUUACGCCGGCCCCCAAUCCAACCAUUCCCCGUGUAGACUCAUAUGUCGCACCCCGCAAAAUAGCUUAGCACAAGACUUCCACCACGAUUUCCACAACAUGCACCACUACACGUAAGUGUCCAAAAAAUGGACUAUCGCAUUAUCAACAUUUUUUCCCUAAACAAGUAAGUUGUUUUUAAAUUUCUUGAAAAUAGCAAGGUUUCUGUUAAAUUAUAAUUUCAUUAGUUACACAUUAUAAUGUGCAUUUUUUGUCCCUCAUAAAGGGGUGCAUUCCUUUUUGUAAACCCACAAAAUUACUUCCUUUCCCUCAAAAAAAGAAUCCUUCUUCACCCUCUCACGAUCACGUUCACGGUGGCCUCGCCCUAUAAUCUAGGAGUGGUCGAUCCAAUCUCCCCACGGGGGACAACUUCCACGCACUAUCUAUCAUGGUUGGUUGCAACCAUCUCGCCAUCACGGUUUUUAUGGGAAAAUCACAUUCUUUUGUUUUUCCUUCCAAAGAUAUGUGGCGAAAAAACAUGGAACAAAAAUUGUAGAAGGCAUGGUGGGAUACGUGCACAUGUUAUCUUUUUGUACUACAAGUGCACUUGUUGGCAAGUUGCAUCUGCAUGUGUCAUGUUUCAUUUUUUUAUUGAAAAUUAUGUUGUACACCUUUACAUAGACGCUUGAAUUAUUGUUUUCGUAUGUUAAUACUUCCUAAAGAAAAAAGUCCAUUUUACUCCCCUGAACAAAGUGGGUGGUUCGCUUUACCCCCUGAUCUUUAUUUUGGCUCCUUCUACACCCCAAACAAAACCAAACUGGACAAAAAAACCCCUGACUGGUUUGUCUCCAUGCGAUGCUGAUGUGGCACAGUCAAAGGGCGGUUUUGACCGCGAUGGGGCCUACUUGUCAGGUAGGACUGUUAUAGAGCUGUCGUUCCCUGUUGCGAUCUAGAUCAGAAAUCCCCCACUUCCCAGUCCAAAUCCCUAACCCUAUUCUCCAUGGGCGGCGGCAGCGUGAGCUCCAGCACCGUGUCACCAGACGCCGUGAGCACCGCCGACGGUCGAGGCGCGGCCCCGGUCAUCGCAGCAGCCCCGGCGAGCCAACAUAUGACAAUUGCUUGUUUGACUUCUCAAAUUGGCCAUUGUAAAAAAAACGGAUGCCUAACCAAUCUAGAUUAUCCAUUGCUUAGCCUACAGAUUAAAACAACAUCCAAUCUUCAAUUAGAACCUACAUACAGCAGCUAACUAGAGCAGAGCAAGUACACCAAGGGAAGGGGAUUGGAGGGAUGGGACUCACCUCAGUUCGUCUGCGCCGCCGUGAAAUCAGACAGACCGCAGCAGCAGCCGCCGCAUCGAUAGAGCCGUCAACUUAGGGUUUGAGGACGGGGGAGGAUAGCGGCCGUGGGAGAAGGAACAGGUCGGGGAAGAUUCACGGGUUGCACCGCCGCUGCCGCCACCACCAACACUCCGAGCACCGUUGCUGGUCGGAGUUUAGCGCCGCCCCGAGGGAGCCAUCGACGGCGGCAUGGGGGAGAAGAAGAAAGGGAUUUCUGAUCCAGAACGCAACGGGGAACGGCAGGAAUAUUACAGUCAACCUGAAAAGUAGGCCCCACCGCGGUCAAAACCGCCCUUUGACUGUGCCACAUCAGCAUCGCACGGAGACAAACCAGCCGCGGGGGUUUUAUGUCCGGUUUUGUUUUGUUUGGGGUGUAGAAGGAGCCAAAAUAAAGAUCAGGGGGUAAAGCGAACCACCCACUUUGUUCAGGGGAGUAAAAUGGACUUUUUUCAUUCCUAAAUAUUGAAAUUCAGCAUGCACAUAACACAUGGCUUCCAAGCUCAGUGACCGCUUGGAUUCGUCUGGUAUAUGCCCGCUGUCUGGUAUUGGGCAGGGGAAUGUGGAUCCAUGCGAUGCCAUGCGUUUCAUCUGGACCCAUGUCAUGCACCCCCAACCAAUCGGGCCGACAUCAUGUGCCGCUAGGCUUCUCGAUCCUAACCAUGCGCUAGUGUCCACCAUGGGUAGAGAUGCUCAGGUGCAUAGUUUUGGCUGGCACUAGUGAAUGACGUCGUAUCUCGGUGUGCAAUAUGUGUAGUCGCGUGUUGCUUGGCUGACACUAGUUUUGGCUGGCUAGGUGUGCAUGGCUAGGUGCUAGAUGGCUAAUGAGUGCGCAUGUGUCUUGUGUACAUUGUCAAGGUUGACCGGUGAGUGUCUACUUGGCCACGCGUGCAUGCAUGGUGUGGGUCCAGUUGGCGUGCGGUGCACGUACGGGACGAGCCUUGGUUGCUAGGCGUGCAACACGGAGUUCUGAAGCAGAUGAAGGGGCAGGCCCUGCACACCGUUCAUAGGCCAGACUUGUUUCCUCUCAAUGAACAAUGGCUCCGAGGCGGCCUUUCUCUUUUGUGGCACAUGGCCCAUAUAUAUGGACCAAAGAGCUUAGCAUGUGACUGUUACCCCAUUCCCUGCUAUGAUUUCAUGUGGCCGCGGUAUAGAUCAUGAAUUCCCGAUGAUACUACCCUAGAAAUGCGGCAAAUGUCCCGAAUAUGGCACACGGGACCCAAGAAAGGCCGGGACCUAGCAUGCUUGUUUGGAUUGUUCUCCGUUGACCCGAGAGAAAGCACCGAUGAAAACGGAGGAACGGGCCCGCACUCAGUGCGCAAACCGGAUGCGUUACCUCAAGGUAGCUAGAUCCAAACCAUGCACCCCCGCCGUCUAGACUCACAUGGUGCACCACUUACGCAGUAGACCCACACCACUUACACCGGCCCCCAAGCCAAGCAGAUCCCCCUCGGGUAGACUCAUAUGUCGCACACCACAAAAUAGAAUUAGCACAAGACUUUCACCCCGAUUCACCAGGUUACUACCUUGUGCACCCCUAGCCAGCAUGAUACACUGCAUGCACCUAGAGCCACCUGGGCCCACAGCAUGCACCACUACACGUACGUGUCCACAAAACGAACUAACCCAUAAUCAACUUUUUUUGCCAAAACAAUUUAGUUAUUUUUAUAAUGGCUUGAAAAUAGCAAGGUUUAUGUUAAAUAAUAAUUUCCUUAAUUACAAUAAGGUCCAUUUUGUAACCACACAAAAUUCCUACCUUCCCUCGAAAAAAAGAAUUCUUCUCUCACGAUCACGAUGGCCUCACCCUAUAAUCUAGGAGUCGAUCCAAUCUCCCCACGUGGGCCAAGUUGCACGCAGUAGAUAUUUUUGGUUGGUUGCAAAUUUCUCUCCAAAACGGUUUAUUAUGAGAAAAUCACCUUAUACUUUUUUACUUCCAAAGACAUGUGGCGACAAAAGCAUGGAACAAAAUCGUAGGAGGCACGGUUGGAUACGUGCACAUGCUGUCUUUUUCUACUACAACUGGACCUGUUGGCAAAUUGCAUGUGCAUGUGUCAUGUUUCAAUUUAUCUUGAAAAUUAUGUUGUACACAUUUAGAUAGGCGAUCGAAUUGUUUUUUCAUAUGUUAAUAAUCCCUAAAUAUUGACCACGUGACACAUGUGGUAAGCAAUCCAAACAAUUCAAAAAAAUCCCUAAAUAUUGAAUUUAAGCAUGCUCCUAGAAAUUAUCAGUCAUAGAACCAACAUCUCUUUCGUAGAGAUUAAGGUACUUCCACAUUAAAUCUAAUACAAUAAAUUCAAAGGAUCAACUUAAUACAUUAACAGCACAUAGGGAUGUAGCCCAGGAAUCCAACGAGUAGAGAGAAAAGGAGGAACAAAAGCUGGAAGAAGAAGGAUCAGCCAGCAGCAGCGCCAUCAGCCUCCUAGCCUCACAACUCCAGGUCUCCAGCCUUGUGAACUCCAGUUUUUUUCCUGUGAAACACGAAUGGCAAAGUUGCUGUUACAGGUUAGGACUUAGUGAAAAUUACAGUUAUGUUGAAACAGUUAUAAUGACAAACAGUGUUGACAUGAUGGUUACAACAAGCAAACAAAACCAAGCUCACAAGUGCAACUUACUUUUAACAUCAAAAAAUUAUAUUAACAUGGCCACUUUAGAGUAAGAUUUUACCAUGCAACAUAAACUUGUCAUAGCAACAAAAGGCAUGGCAUGAAAGUAUUGACAACAUAAUGCAAAUAAAUUUUAGGAAGCAUGGCCAUAGAAGUUAUAUUUUUAGUGGCAACCUUCAAGCAAAGUUGCAUAGUUUUAUAACAGAAAGGGCUGCUGUUAUUGGUAGAGGCACACUGAGGUUGGCUAGCCAUCGAGAAUGACCAGUGGGCCAGGGGCCACAUGACUGGGAGCAUUUGUGUGUGCGUGACUACCAUGGGACCCGGAUGUCAGUGGCUUACUUUGAAAACAAAAGGGGGGUUCAUAGUUUAGUGGGAACCAUCAAGCAAAUUCGCAAAGUUUUUAUAGCUGACAGAUUUAUACUUGCUGAGAUGCACAGAGUAAAAUGAUGGCAUGUUGGAGGCAAUCAAUAAAUAUGCUACAUGGCUUGUCAUGGCAUAUAAUUGCACAGAAUGCUAGUACAAAUCAUGGAGAACAAGACAUGCAACAUGAGCAUCUCCAUAAGAGUUGGUAGCUCUACCAAAAAGCAAUCAACAACGCAAAAAAAAGGUUCAAAUAUAGUAUCAAGCACUUAAUAAUAGAAAGACACAUAACAAAUUUUUGCAGUAGAAGUGCAGGUGAACAUCAAAUACUACCACUACAACAGUACAAAUUUAGCCUGGGGUUCAUAUACAUCAUAAUCCAGCCCCCAAAAGCAUGUACUCAAUCACUACCACCACAACUGUAAGCACGAGCAGUAGGAAGAUAAGGAGUGGGGAAGCUUACUCUAAACAACGGUACCACCGCCAUUCAGGCGAGGGGAGCGGCGAAGGAAGCGUGGAGAACGGCGGGGAAGCGAUGUCGCGACCAUUGUCCUCCUCCUCUUGCGCUUCGGAGUCAUCUCCGACUCGGUUGGAGGCUCCACAAUCUGCAACGGCACCUCGUGCACCGUGGGUUCCUGAUCCGGUGGAUGCUCUACCCUGGAUCUGAACGCCCAUCACCUGCGCCUGUCCCACGGGUUGGACGAAUUUGCCUGCUCCAUCGCCCACAGGAGGAUCUCGAUGUCGUGCCUCGGUUGUGCGGGCGGGGGAAAAAGCUUUUUAUUCUCCCUGGAUGUCAUUUCCCUCAAAGUGGCCAUUGCCGUCUAGUUCAACUGCCUUAUGUUGUUAAACCAAGAACGGAUCUCCAUCAACCUGGCCAUCUUUACCUGGUCGCCGCCGGCGAUCUCCACGAAGUCGGCGUUCUCGGCGCUGGCGAUCUGCUCCUCCAUCGAGGUUCUUACGUGGAUGGAAGAAGGAGGUGGGAUGUGUAAGAGGAGACGAGCAAAGUUGCGGCCGCGAGAAGGAGGAGAAGGAGAGGGAGGAGAUGUCGCGGUUGUAAUGGCGAUGGGUGAGGGGAAGGACGAUGGCGGCGGCGGUUCUGCAUUGGAUGAGAGGGGCGGCGCGUGAUUGUUUUCUUCCUAUGACCUUUUUUGAGACAAUUUUUUCCUAUGACUAAAAUGCCAGAGAUUAAAACGGUUCCAAAAAAGCCCAACCACUGUAAAAAAAAUUAUAAUAAAUAUAGAUAAUUCGGGCCAACCAAAGCCCACAACAUGAAUUAAUAGUAUGCUUACAACUUAAAUAACACCAAGACAAAUAUAGAUAGAUAGAUUUUUUAGCUAAAAAGAUAGAUAGAUAGAUAGAUAGAUAGAUAGAUGGCCGCCGCUUCUCCACCAGGCUCCUCCUUGAUCCUCCUCCGGGCGCCCUUCACUGCUCCUCCCCGGUGUUGUUGAUGGGGUAUGGCAGAGUGUGCAUGCGGUCGUCGGUGGGGAAGACGUUGUCGUAGUCCGUGAAGAUGUUAUGGGUGGUGAAAGCUAUGAACUCACAGCAACACCAGAACACGCGGCUGAGGAGGUAGAACGCGUCGAAGGGGUUGGUGAAGUGGGCAAGGAUAGCAACCACAACCCCGUUGUGGAUGACCUCCUCGACUCGGUAUAUCCUUGGAGAUCCCCGAGGGAGGUGCCCGUAGCCGGCCCGACGGAAGAAGUCGGUGAGCCCCUUGCGCCCCUCCACCUUGACAUCGCCCACACACGAAGGGUGCUCUCGACGUACACCCCGGCGGGGUAGAGCAUCUCCGGCACGGUGGAGGGGAAGCGGUAGGUUGGCCCGGUGUACUGCAUGGCUGCGGCGGGCUGGUUCUUGGGGCUGUUUGUGGUGAAGAAGAAGAAGGGCAGGCGCAAAAUGCAGGUGGGAGAGUAUGGGAGAUGGAUGAAGGGUGUGAGAGGAAGAGGAACAUGAUAGGUGGCUUAAAUAGCCACCGUGGCAGUAAUGGGGUCAAAUGUGAACAAAUUUUCCACCCACCGCGGCAUCGGGAGUGUACACGCAUGGGAAACUGUAGUGUGAAUCAAAAUGCGAAGUUUAAGUGCUGGCCUAUGUGCCGUCGGUCGGGUCAACCGGGGACGGCUCUGCUGCGCGUGCUCCUUCGCGUAUGUGCACGCAUGCAACGUAGGCUGAAGGGGACGCAUGCAUGCAACCGCAUGCAACGUAGGCUCACUCGGGCGCAUGCAACGGCGGCGGACAUCGCUCGGUCCAACGGGUGGGCUUCUUUACACAGCCCAAUGACACGAUGCAUGGCAGCCCACCCUCGAGCGCAGAAAAAAAAACAGGCGCAGAAAAAUAACGUAAAUAUUAUAUCAUUUAUCGACGCAAAAGCCCUAGAUAAUCCUUACAACGUCAAAAAGCUACGAAACUUGGCAAUGAUGCUAGUCAUGUUGGUACAAGGUUGUUGGUCCACUUCAAGGAUGUCGACAAAAACAUGCUUCGAGACGGACCCUUCCCGUCCCGAAAGGCCUCCCAUGAAGCAGGUUCAGAAUGACACCGAAUGUUGCCAGGAUGUAAGUCCAAUGAGAUCAACACUUGUUCAUGUUGGCCAAUGUGGGACUGACCGUCGAAGGAGAUAAAGAUUGAUACUUGUUCAUGUGGGCCCUUUUUUUUACAUUUGGUGUCGAUAGAACACAAAAAACAAACAUGACUAUAUGCUUUUAGGUCUUCACCCUCCCCAAUUUGUUGGCCAACUCAACAUGUUUUGCCUUAAGAUGCCACCUCUUUCUGUAAGCUGCAAUUGCUGUUGUUUUGGAAUGCUGGUUCUCUUUCCUGCAGAACGGGCAUUUAUAGAGACCGUUACGCCGGUACACAAUCUUUGCAGCCAUGAGCCACUUGAAGAUUUUCUUUCUGAAAGCUUCCCUCAGCUGUAGGUAGUUCUCCCAUUCUUCCAAAUCUGCAAUCUGGUAUUAGAAGAAAAAAAAUCUCAUGCCAGCGAAUUGUACAUUAUAUCAAAGGAAGGCAUAAAUGGAUUGUUUUUUCUUUGUAUUGGUUUCCUAAAACUUUGUUAUAUGAAAGACAGGCAUAAAAUGGAAUACAAAUGAUCCAUUCAUCUAAAUUUGCAAACCCUAGGACUGAUAACCGUACGAUUAAUCAAAAAAAAGGCGAACAGUACGAUUGUCUAUACAAAUAGCGAGGAAUAACAAGAGAGCAAUUUCUAGGGUUAACCUCGAGAAGGCAAAUUCUAGGGUUAAUAUCUGCAGACACUAACUGAUUCAUCGUCGUUGGUACUGUGUUGGACCAGCUGCGGCUGCGAAUCGGCGGCGACGACGUCCUUGUCGACCACUUCCUUCAUGGGGUUCACAUCCGCUGCACGGAGCGCACCAGCCACGCACCCUCCCCCGGCAGGUAGGAUCAUCCUCGCCGGCAAGAAUGUGGGCUUUUUGGCGGCGGCGAGUAGUGGGCGGCAACGAAGACGUGGGUGGAUAGGCAGAGGCGAUCGAACGCUGGAGGCGGGAGCGAGAUUUGGGGAGUGAAAAUUCAAUUUGUUUGGGAGAGAGAGGCCAAGGCCGCGCACAAUUCGUCACUUUUGAAAUUUAGGUAGAAACAUGCACGUAUACGGCAUCAUGCACACCCAGAGAUUUGCCCGAACCAACCAAUCAACCAACCAAGUAAAAGAAAAGGUGCACAAUGUCGGUCCACAAACGUGGCAACAUAAACCGAACACCAAAAUAGUGUGUUAAAAAAACAGCAAAAUAGGAGGGACAUUUUUUUGUUUUGCGCAGUACUACUAAAUACUAGGAGGGAGAACUACUGAAAAAAAAUACUAGAAGGGACAGUUGGCACAUUUAAUUUCACAUGGCCUCUACUAGCUUUUUUGUUCAUCGCUAGCUAUGUUGUACCGAUUAGGUAAAAUGAAUGGAUAAUUAUUAAACCCUAGCUAUUGUCAAGGUUUAUCGGUGUGUGUCUACGUGGCCAAGUGUGCUUGCACGGUGUGGGUCCAGGUGAGUGUGAUGCACGGGACGGGCCUUUGUGCUUAGGGCCCACCUGAAGCGGCACCGAAUUUUGAGGAAAGUGAAGGAACGAGCCCCACACACCGUCCGCAUGCCGGACUUGUUCCCUCCAAUUGGCUAGAUCCAACAUGCAAUAUGGCCUCGUUUACACUUACCCCGCGUGAGGGUUUAUGCAUGCCCCUCUCGGUGUUUGACCAUACCCUUCAUGGGUCAUAUGAUGAGACCACGCUAGGCCCCGUGAUGCACCGCCUAGGCACAAACCGGGCGCGUUACCUCUCGGUAGCUAGAUCCAAACCAUGCACCCCCGUUGUUUAGACCCAAGUGGAGUAGCACCUAGACACAUGACCUGCGACACUUGUGCCAGCCCCCGAACCAUGCAUCCCCGCCGUGUAGACUCAUAUGUGGCCAUGUGUGCAUGCAUGUUGUGGUUCCAGCUGAGUGCGAUGCACGGGACGGUCCUUGGUUACUAGGUCUAACAUCACGCGGCAACGAGAUUUGAGGCAAAUGAAGGAAUGGGCCCCGCACUCCCUUUACAGGACGGACGCAUUCCCACUCUGUGGCUUGAUCCAGCAUGGGAUAUGGCCCCAGUUGCCCACAGCCUACGUGAGGGCCUACGCAUGCCGCUCUCGAUGUUUUACCACACCCUCUAGGGGUUGUAUGAUUACAAUUGCGCUAGGUCCCGUGAAUUUUUGGCCCCUCGAUAAUUUGCAUGGAUUAUAACGGCAGCUGAUGAGCAUCAUAGCCUAGAGAACGGCGUCGAGGCCACCCCUCCCUUUGGUAGCAUAUGGUGCAUAUAUGGACCAAAGAGCUUAACAUGGGGCUUUCAUCCCAAUCCUUGCUAUGAUUUCAUGUGGCCCCCGUAGAUCUUGAACUUUCGAUGUUACAACCCUAGAAAUGCGGUAAAUGUCCCGAAUAUGGGAGGGAGGGGGGGAGAAAGGCCACGCAAUAAACGAUCCCCAUAAUUUUAUGUUUGUUUUAUCUGGCAAGACAAACAAGUUUUUUAAAAUAAGGAUUUUUAGCAUGUUUUAAUAAGGAUUUUAUAAUUUCACAUUAUAAGGUGCUUAUUUUUUCCUAAAACAAAUGUGUUGUAAAGGCACAAAGCUCCACAUUGAGCCUCUCACCAUCACGUUCACGUUGAACUCACCCUAAAAUGAAGGAGAGGUAGAUCGAAUCUCCCCAUGGGGGGCAACCUCCACCUACUAGCUAAAUAUGGUUAGUUGAGAAUUUCUCCCCAAGUCGUUUUUUGAGGCAAAAUCACAUUCUUUUUUUUUCCUCCAAUACUGUGGCGAAAUACAUGGAAGAAAAAUCGUGGGAGGCAUGGUGGAACGAGUGCACCUGUUUUCCCCCUCCAAAAGUGUACUAGUUGCCAUAUUUCAUGUGAACGUGUCACCUGUACAAACAAUUGAAUUGUCGUUUUUAUUUUGUUAACAAUUCCUAAAUAUUGAAUUUCAGCAUGCACCUACCCCAUGUCAGUUAGGUCAAAUUUGUUUUAUCCAAGCUCCGCCAGCGACCGUGCAGAUUCUUGUACCAUGCACAUGCUGCUCCGGGCCUCUGGCGUCCGGUACCGGACAGGGGAAUCUAGAUGUGAUGCAAUACAAUUCAUGUUGACCCAUAUGAUGCACCCUUAGCCAACCAAGCCGACAACAUGCACCUCUAGCCACCUCGAUCUAGACCAUGCAGUAGUGUCCACGAUGGGCAAAGAUGCUCAGUUGGACAUGUUUGCUGGCACUAGUGCAUGAUGCCCAAUCUCGGUGUGCAAGACGGGUAGCCAUGUGUCGCUUUGACAUGCUUGGCUUACGGAGGGAGGGACUGGUUGGAGAACUAACGAACCGAGGUGGAUGGAUGGUGUGGGUCAACUUGGGUAAAGGGGAACGGUUUGAGGCCAUUUGAACAAUGUAUGCCAUGGCUAUGGUCAUGAGCUACCUCACUUGCCUUACCACGAAAUUUUUCAUAAGGGGACAGUGUAAACCUAAAAAAUUUGAGUUUUAUUUUUGGAUAUCCUGUUUGUUACAUUUAUGGCAUCGUGUACAACAAAUUUGGGGUUAUUUUGGAGAUGGUCAAAAAAAUCACUUCAUUACAGACGGACCGUUUGGUCUCACUUAAGCGAGUUUUUCUAACAAGGUGGUUUUUUCGACCACAUCCAAAUCACCUGAAAUUUUGUACACAUGAUAUUUUCAUAAACAUAGACAGCAUUUGAAAGUUUUCCAAUUUUUUUUUAGAAUUUUAUAUAAUUUAUAGUGGCUCAGUGAAACUCAGGUACAUACCUCUGACUUUACCCUAAGGGGAUAGUGUAAACUUCAUUAUUGCUGAAUUUUCUUUGAUAAUCAUGUUUAUUACAUGGAUGUGACUGUGUAAAAAAAAUUGGGUGAUUUGGAAAAGAAAAAUCCCACCAACUAAUAGGAGAUAUCAAACCCCACGGCCUGCAUACGACUAGAAACCCAACCAUAUGGGCCAGGAUGCAGGCCCGUGGGAUGUUGAUUUCUCCUACUAGUAGGCCCCACAGGGCAUACACAGAAGUGGAUAGGGAACGUGCUGUUUCAGUGAGAGACGCUCAUGCAAUUGGUCUCUCAGCCGCGUAUAUAAGUAGGUGCGUGCGCGUCUCGCUUGGCGAGGUGGGACUAAACUCCCACCACCCGUCAGCUGCGCCCGGUGCGUCUCAGCGUUGGGCCAAAUUUUGUUGGGCUGUCCCAGGCGAACCUCACCCGCGUGCUGCACCACGCGUCCCUGUAGAUGGUUGGGCUGGCCCAUCAUGUAUGCAUAUCCUUUUUAUUUUUUCUUUUUCACAUAUUCUCUUUCAUUUAUUAUUAUACAGUUCUAAAACAAAGGUUGUUGUAAACGCACAAAACUCCUUCUUCAGCCUCUCACCAUCACGUUCACGUUGAACUCACCCUAAAAUCAAGGAGAGGUAGAUCGAAUCUCCCCACGGGGGACAACCUCCACGGAGUAGCUAAAUAUGGUUACUUCAGAUUUUCUUCCCAAGUCGUUUUUUGAGGGGAAAAUACAUUUUUCUUUUUUCCUCCAAUAUUUGUGGCGAAAUACAUGGAACAAAAAUCGUGGGAGGCACGGGGGCUACCUGUUUUUCCCCUCCAAAAGUGCACUUGUUGCCAAAAUGCAUGUGAACGUGUCAUAUUCCACAUUUUCCUUAAUACAUGUUGUACACCUGCACAAACAAUUGAAUUGUCGUUUUCAUUUUGUUAUCAAUUCCUAAAUCUUGAAUUUCAGCAUGCACCUAUCCCAUGGCGUCUCAUCCAAGCUCCCACAUCAACCACGCAGAUUCUUCUACCAUGCAUGUGUGCUGCUCCGGCGUCCGGUACAAGAGAGGGGAAUCUUGAUCCGAUGUGAUGCGAUUCAUGUCUACCCAUAGCAUGCACCGCUAGGCAACCGGGCCGACAACAUGCACCGCUUGCCGCCUCGAUCCAGAUAAUGGUCAAAGAUGCUCAGCUGGACAUGUUUGUUGGCACUAGUGCAUGAUGCGCCAAUCUUGGUGUGCAAGACGUGUAGCCGUGUGUCGUUUUAACAUGCUUGGCAUACCGAGGGAAGGGACUCGUCGGAGAUCCAACGAACCGAGGUGGGGUCAAGGGUGGAUGGAUGGUGUGGGUCAACUUGGCUAAAGCCUUACGGUGGGUGUCUACGUGGCCAAGUGUGCAUGCAUGGUGUGAAUCCAGCUGUGUGUGAUGCACUGGACGGGCCUUUUUGGAUAGGGCCCACAUGAAGCGGCAACGAAUUUUGAGGAAAAUGAAGGAACGGGCCCCACACUCCGUCUGCAUGCCGAACUCGUUCCCUCCAUUGGCUAGAUCCAGCAUGCAAUAUGGCAUGCCUUCCACAUAGCCCGUGUUAGGGCUUAUGCGUGCCGCUCUCGGUGUUUGACCACACCCUUCAUGGGUCAUACGACGAGACCACGCCAGGCCCCGUGAAGCACCGCCUAGACACAAACCGGACGCGUUACCUCUUGGUAGCUAUAUCCAAAGCACAUGCAGACCCGCCGUCUAGACCCACGUGUGGAGCAUCACGUAGACGUUUAGACUCAUACGUGGACAUGCAUCCCCUUGGUAGACGUUUAGACUCAUGCGUUACCUCUUGGUAGCUAGAUCCAAACUGGACUCACACCACUUACGCCAGUCCCCGAACCAUGCAUCCCCGCCGUUUAGACUCAUACGUGGACAUGUGUGCAUGCAUGUUGUGGGUCCAGUUGAGUGCGAUGCACGAGACAUGCCUUGGUUACUAGGUCUAACAUCACAUGGCAUCGAGAUUUGAGGCAAAUGAAGGAACGGGCCCCGCACUCCUUUCACAGGCCGGACGCAUUCUCUCUCGAUGGCUUGAUCCAACAUGCGAUAUGGUCCCGUUUGCACACAGCCUAUGUGAGGGCCAAUGCAUGCUGCUCUCGAUGUUUUACCACACCCUCUAGGGGUUGUACGAUGACACCACACCAGGUCCGGUGUAUUUGUAGCCCCUCACGAAUUUGCAUUGAUUAUAACGACAGCAAACGGGCAUCAUAGCCGUAGAGAACGGCUUCGAGGCCACGCCUCCCGUUGGUAGCAUAUGGCACAUAUAUGGACCAAAGAGCUUAACAUGGGGCACUCAUCCCAUUCCCUGCUAUGUUUUCAUGGUGGCCGCAUAAGAUCUUGAACUUUCGAGGUUACAGCCAUAAAAAUGCGGUAAAUGGCCCGAAUAUGUGAGGGGGGCGAGAAAGGCGACGCAAUUACCUACCCCCAUUAUUGAAGUUUGUUUUUUCUGGAAAGAAACAAUUUUUUAUAAAUAAGGAAUUUUCAGCACUUAUUAAUAACGAUUUUAUAAUUUCACAUUGUAAGGUGCAUUUUUUUCUCUAAAACAAAGGUGAUGUAAACGCACAAAACUCCUCCUUGAGCCUCUCACCAUCACGUUCACGUUGAACUCACCCAAAAAGGAUUUCCCUCUUUUUUACGAUUUUCCUUUGUUUUUGUUUUUUAGACAAAAGGAUUUGCUUUGUGUUUUUUUAUUAGUAACAUAGGGUUUUACUUUGUGACUGGUAAGCGGCCUGUGGGCCUGUUUGGUUGUUUCUUUACGAACUGGACCCACGGGCCGUUAUUUUCUGUGCUUGACACGGAUAGGGUCCGUGUCAUCACCCCCAUCGCCCACACACCCCCGCUCCCCUCACCCCCACCCUCCCCACAAACCACCCCGCCGCGACCCCGCCGCCUACUCGCCUGGCCCCUAUCGACGGUUGGAGCAGAAGAGCGCAGAGUGAGAUUUGGAGGCCGCCAGCAAGCACCUAGCGACUACCGGCGACUAGGUGAAGUGAGAAACCAUAACUUGUAAUCUUCGACUUCUUUAUUCCUUGUUGUGUUGCCGUUUCGGAGUUGGAUAUGGUUUUCAAAGUCAGAGAUUAGAUAGUUAGGAUUUUUAAAUCAGAGGUUAGGUGGAAGCCGAUGCAGAGAUUGAAGGAAGUUUUCUACAUCGGUGGCUAGCUGAGUAUUUUUUCUAGGGUUUCGGUAUUCCAGGGUUUUCAUAACAAUGAACAAGUGCAGAUGCGUGACACAAUAGCAGCAAAUUUCAGCAAACAGUCCUUUAAAAACUUUAAAAAAUAUUGGCCUUGUGAAGUGGCGAAUCCAGGAAGAAACCAGAGGGUGGGCUCAAAACCUAUAAGCUGCGCUAGUGGAUUAAAUUCCUUUUUAGGCCGAAAUUAGGUUGGGUUUAGUAAGGCAGCCAUUAACCUGUAGUCCUAGAUUGCAAGUCAACUAAACAUUUCUCAGAAUAAUAUUUAGUGAAGUGUUUUUUUUUGCAGAAUAUGAAAUUUUGAUCCAAAUAUUUGUAUCUUUGUAGGGAAAUAACAAUAAACUCUUAAUUUUGUUGCCCAAAUUAGUUCAUAUAUUAAAGAUUAUAAAUGUGAGGGCGUACAAUAUAUCAGAGUUUUUAGGAAUUAUUUUAGUCUUUAUUUUGUGUGGUUAUGUAGUACCAGGAAAAAGUGAAGUAAGUUCAUUUUCUCCAACAUGACAGACAGGUGGCUAAUUGAGUUGGUUACCCUGAUGAUCCUUCGUCCGUCCAGAACAGAUUUUCUUUUCCUUUUCAAGGAACAUAUUGUUGGAUGCGGAUGUAUGUAGAUGGGUUGUAUGUUGAAGGUGUGCGUGUGUACAUUCGGGUGGGCCGAGUAAUAGCAGUAGUAGGAUUUAUGUUUUCAUAGGACUUUUCUCAGAGAUUACUGCUUAGUCUUGGACACUACCUCAGUUAUGCUGCAGAGGAGGAGGGGCCAAUGCCGCGCGUUGACGGUCGGGGUGAGUCCAUGCUGCCUGUCGAGGAUGAAGAGAAGGACAUGUCUGAACAAGCUGUGGUGCGGCAGGCACGCGCUGCGUUGCGGGGUUAUGAGGAGUGGACGGCGAGCCACCCGCUCAGUUCAAGUGUAUGAUUGUUGAUUACUAAUGCAGUACCUUCGUUGAUUAUACUGUAUGAUUGUUGCCUAGUGUCUUUACAUGCAUAAGCCCUUUUCUUAAAUUCUCAUCCUUUGCUUUUCUUCAUUUUAUUUUGUUUACACAGGUGGUGUGCAUAACCUGUCGACAGGACUGCAACAGGCCCAAUGAAGAUGGGUUGACAUUUACCAUCCGGCUAGAUGGGGACACUUCAGCUCUGGUAUAAAUAAUCAUGUCAAUUUUUACUUGUAUUGUGUAUGUUCCCCUCUACUUUGAAGAUUAACAAUAUGUAGGAAAUAAAUAGCAAUUAAAUUCUACAUCUACAGAUCAUGCCAUGCUACGCAAGGCACCAGUUCAGCGCCAUCCCAGAUAGUUCAUUGCUUUUUCAAGCGAGAAAGAGCCGCAUGUAUGAUUUUGGUGUGUACAAAGGGAAUUCAAGGGCGAUCAUCUGUGGUGAAAACUGGUGCAGGUUUGUUGAAGACUUCGACCUGUGAGAAGGCGACCUUGUCUCCUUCGAUUUGACUGAAGACAUUCCUAUGGUGUACUGCUGCAACCAGACAAGGAAAUGCGAUCAAAACGAAGAGCGUAAAGAUCCUCUAGAAUUAGCUGUCAUAACGAAGGGCAUUAAUCUUACGAAGCAAGAGGAGCGUAACCUACAUGACCUUUUGGCGAUGAAGAAAGGUUAUAUAGGCGCAUUUUUUGUCCACCGCUUCACCAAGUCGAACAUAGCAGGAAAGACGAUGGUAUGUUUUUGGUGUACUAGUAUCUUCUAUUUUGUAUGCAAUUUUCUUUGUUUUUUCAUGGAGAGAAAGUUUAAUGAUAUGCUAUUGUAGCUGAAACCAGUGAAUACACUGAUGUGUGUUUUUGCAUAUCCUUUUGUUUCCCAUAACUGAAUAUCCUUAUGUAAUAUAUGUAGAUGUAGCUGAAUAUCCUUUUGUUUACUGCUCCUUCACAUAUUUGAUAUUUUUUCUUCCUAUGACGGUGCAUACAGAGAUUACCGGUGAAAGUUGUCGACGCCCUAAAGACCCCAGGAGAUGGGGAGAUACCGGGAGAUGGGCUUGCUGGCAUUCGGCUGUGCAAGGACAAUUUCAUGCCGGUCAAGUACCACAAGUGUGAUGAUGGCCGCAUCAUCUUCGGCAAGGGAUGGAGUGAUUUUGUUGACAGUGAAGAGCUUAAGGUUCAUAAAGCCGUUCUUUUGAGUUUCAAGACCACCACCCGUGAAGAUCUUCAGAUCGAGGUGGUUAUGAACAUGCUGACCGAGGAGCCACAAAUGUAGCACGACAACGCAAGAGUGUCCUUUACACUAGGUAUAGUGUGAAAACUAUUUUGAUAGCAGUUAUGCAUCUAUGGGGUUACGUCUUCAUUAUGUCUUGGGUGAUGAUGACUAUGAGAGGAGGACAUAUUGCAGUUAGAGUAAAUGCUAGGAUUCGGCCCUAUUCAGGACUCAAAAUAGGUCUUUCAAAGGUGGUUGCUUUAUUGGCUGUUGUUUCCCUGGCUAUAAUCAUGAACGAUGGUAAUGCAAAUGGAAUCGUUAAGGGGGUUUUAUUAAUAUUUUAAAUCAUGGAGUUAAGAUGGUAGAACUACCUAUGAGUGUUUGCGUAGGAGAUGCGGGAAGGGCAUCAGUUGUGUUCUUGACUCUUUGGCAAUGCAGGAAUAAUGUGAGAUUACAAAAUAAAUGGUAUAGUGAUCUUAUGAUUCUUGUUUAGCUAAUUUGCUUGUGGAUCAAGGGAUGGUCUAUAUUGCAGAUGAAGGUGGUAAACAAAGAGGUGCUGAUGUUGGGAGCAAAGAGGUGAUGAUGGUCUAUAUGCGCACUCUAGAGCAUGUAGCAGGUGAAUUGUACAGUUCAUCGCAAGUGUGGAGUCACAGGGUACUGCGGUGUCGCCUGCGCAUCUCUGCCGUAGUUUUAUUUUUUGGACCUUCAUGUUAAGUCUGGCUGGGCUUGCUACCAUGUAUGAUUUGUGCUGCUAGUUGAUUACUUUAGAAUCAGAGGGGGCGACCCUUCUUUUGAUUAAAAAAAUGAACUUUCUCUAUGCAAUUAAAAAAUAAAAUUUCUCUAUUCAAACCCAGUUGAGAACAGUAUUCAUUAUAAAACUGAAAUAAUCUUUUACUAAAAAUGGCUAUCGCAUUCUGUAUCAUAGCUAGCGAAACCUAAACAAAAUAAACGUCUUAAGUAUAAUAUCUCGUGAACGUGGAUCAAAUUAGGCAAGACAACUAGAAUAAAGGAUGAUUCAACUUGCAGGAAAUUUAAACUUACGACUUACUAGCAGUAUAAUAAAGUUUACAGACUAUCAGCUAGAUAAAUAGAAGAAACAUUUUAGGUCGAUUCAUUCUUCCUUCUGGACUUCCUUGACUGCCUAGAUGGUUUGGUGAGAUGCUGGCGCUGACUCUCGAACCCCUUCUGUAAGUUCAGCAACUGCCUGUAUACGUCGUAGGUGGCAUACGCGUCCAUGGAAGCAUAAUAGAUGUUCUUCAAGGGCAAGGGCGCUUCUGCCCAUAUAUGGUGGUCAUCUUCUGUGAGAGCGUCCUUCAUCUUGUUGUAGCUGUGGUGGAUGAUGGAACCAGCGUAGUCAGCCAAGCCAUACUUUGGCUUAAUCGUCACUGGAUCAGGCACUCUCCACAUAUUCUGGAUAUCCACAAAGUUUUGUACGACCAGACCAACAUGCUUGAGUUUUUUCUUGUCAUUGUUGAUGUCCACCCCAACAAAGGUGUACUCCUCGUCGAGCAGGAAGGUGGCAAGCAGGUCGCAGUGCUCAUCAGCAACGCUUAUGUGGUACACGAGGACGUAGAUGCCAACGCAUAACUGGACCACGGCCGCCAUCUGUGUCGGACCACGAGGCCAGGUGUACUCCACAUCCAGUGCAACUAUCUUCUGGUCGUCGUUCCGCAGCCAGUAUUUGAAUCUGCCCAUGCAGUACUCAACACUGCUAGCCUUGUUCGUGUACUUCACACAAAUUUCGGUAUUUCCAUCUGCCCUAGCAGCAUAAUCAUUCUCGAACGCCAUGCCGAAGGAUUGUAAUUGAUGAAACCAGUAUAAGACAUGAAGCAUGACAAUAACAUGAUAACAAUAAGCCGAGAUGAAUAUGACGACAGAUAGUAUAGGAAUUCUGGCGCUAUUGAAAGUUUAUGUAAACAAGUGCAUGAACAAUUUAAACUAAACAAGUACUCCCUCUGUAAAAAAAUCACUAAAGCAGUGAACCAAAAUUGUUAUAUUUCCUUGCAGAGGGAGUAUAUGCGAAUUAACAAUCAAAACUUACGCUCUUGAAAUAUUUAUCUAAACAACUGCAUCAACAAUCAAGAAUAAACAUGUAUCUAUGAAUUGUUCAUCGCCCAUGCAGAUGAAACUGUGUGUACAAACUAAAGAAGCAGGAGAAAAACAAGAAAUUGACAAGACAACGGACUAGAUGUUGCAUGCAGAUGAAUCUGUGUGCAAAAUUCUCAUAAGGCAACGGACUACAUGUUGCAGGCAGAUGAAUCUGUGUGCACAAAAUAAAGAAGCAGGAGAACAAGAAAUUGACAAGAAGAAGGCCAUCGUAUGUGCUGCUACUGGAGAACUACUAACAAAAUUGAUAGGAAGGAGAACUCACCGUUCUAGAAGACGGAUUGUUGGGAGAGUGGGCGACGCAGAGGAAGAGGGAAUCGAGAGGACGCAGAGGCAGAGGAACCGUUUUUGGAGAGUCGUGGCAGUCAGGAUGAAGCACCCUCGCGCAUGCCCAUCCUAAAUAAUUGGGACGGGGCUCGUCGCAGCCGUUGGAGUCCUCGCUUCCUUUCUCAUGUUCACAUUUCAAAUGGGCUCAUCCCAUUAUAAUAGGCCCGUAUAAGAAAGCACAAGAAGCCCAAACGCUUCACGGUUGAGAUUACUGAUCUAAACUUGCUAAAAAAUUCUCAAAAUAAAGAAACUAGCUAAAAAUACUUUACGUGAUCUAAAACUACCUCUUCGUGAGAUCCCAAAUUCCCAAUAUUUCCUUGUGGUGGGUUGUUAGAGAAUCCCCUAUAAAUAAACAUUACGUGAUCUAAAACUACCUCUUCCUGAGAUCCCAAAUUCCCAAUAUUUCCUUGUGAUCGGUUGUUAGAGAAUCCCCUGUAAAUACGAAGCUUUUCACGGCAUAGAUCGUAUACUUCCACCCCACGCCUCCCACCCCACGCCUCCCAUACCUAGCCUUCCAUGACUACACCGAAUUACCACCCCACGCCGCCCAAAGUAGCUCCCAGGUCGGUGAAGCCGACGGAGCCGUCAUCUUCAAAGCCUGCGUCGGCGAAUCCUGAGAUGAAAGAGAAGGGCACGUCAGAGAAGCCGACAAAAGAGAAGGGCACGUCGGAGAAGCCAGCGAAUCAAAAGUUGAAAGCGAACGGCAAUGGAGCCGGUCGCCAUCGAGAGAAUCCUCCGGUAACGAUCGAGAUCCUUGUAUUCUGUAUACACCCUCCUUCCCAAGUCUGCAUGCAAUCCCAUUAUUUAUGGCGCACUUCUUUUUGAUCUCGUUUAGUUACAGCCAUAAUGAACUGUCCCUAUUUUACCGAAGGGAGAUGGGUGUGUCUAGAAAGGCUUGCACGAAUCUUAGCAUAAAAUCAAUGACAUAGGACUUAGAUAAGCAAUACUUAGAGCACAUCUAGAUGUGCUUUAGCAAAACUUAAGGGAGAUCGUGGAUACCUUCCUCUCUUAGUGUUUAGUCGUGAAUGCCUCUCUCUGUAAUGAAACUUGCACUAAUUUUCGUGCUGGAAAGUUCUACGUGCAACGAUAUGGAAAGGAAGGACUAGUAAUUCAACUUUGUUUAAAACCAGCAACCGAAUCAACAAAAUAAUUGUGGUACUCCUAAAUGCCUGAUCAAAUACGCAGUAGACAGAAUACAAAGUAGUUUUGUACGUAAGUUGCACGCCUCACUUAUUUGGCAUUGAGAACAUCAAAUGUAUGUACUAUAUUAAGUUUUAGGUUGACGAGAAAGAAAGGAGAAAACUAAAGAGAAAGAUGGACAGUAGGAUCACAUGUUACAUUCCUAAUAUGGUGAUUAUCUAUAAACUAUUCAUCUUGUGAUCAUGUAUGCAAUUAUUUUCGUAAGGGUGACGCCUGAAACUUUAGUAGCGUACAUAGACCAAAGUCUGCUCUUUCUACUAAAAAUCUAUACUAUUAUCAGUCAAUUUGCCGACAGAGAUAGCUUGUUUUUCUAUGUCUGGUGUUCAUUAUAUGGCCUAGAAGCUCUAUAAUUUCAUGCAGUACUGUAGAGCACAAUUUUAAUAUUGGCAUAGAUUAGAUCUAGUCGGUUCUAUGCGUGUUUAAAUGAAUACCAUACAGAAUCUAAUCACACUAUUUGUACAUUCAGGGAACUCAGGUUGCUUCAUUGCUGCAAUACGAGAAGUUCAUAAAAGAAUUAAACUCACAACAACUGACAUACAUCAAGUUGAUUGGACUGGGUGAACUUCUCAAGACUCCUGGCAUGAGAAUGAGACGUCUACUAUGCCAGGCCAUCGCUUAUUCAUAUGAUGCAGAGUAGGAUGCCUUUAUAAUUAAUGGGAGACCAUGUAGGAUCACACUAAAAGAUGUGGAGCAUAUAACAGGCCUGCCCUGCAUGGGGAAGAAUCACGUCUCUUCAAAUCACAACGAUACUUUGGAGUUGUGGAAGGAACUGAAAGACCCCAAUGACACAAAAGUAACUUUGAAAGGAUAGCUAGCCAAGAUGAAAGGCAACAGCACACCUAAUUUUGUCAGGCCAUUUGUCUUGUACACCAUAGGCAAAUAUGUAUGCCCGACAACACAGCAGUAUGUGGCCAACAGAUACCUUGGGAUUGUUAGAAACGUUGAGACAAUAAAGAGCACCAAUUUUGGACAGCUUACACUUGACCAUCUUAUGACUAGCGUCAGGAAAUUUGUAAAUGGUGGAGCAAAUCUGGAGGGCAACCUACCACUGCUGCAAGUAAUACAAUCAUUAUUAACAUACAAUACAUUUAAUUUAUGGAAAAAUUUCUAAGUUGUUUUUGUUGUAAUGCAGAUGUGGUACUACAAGAAGUGGAGGGUGCACCAAUUGGACUCUACCAUCUGGUAUGCAUCAAGGUUAAGGCCGCUGAUCCAAAACUGGAGUGACGAGAAGGCACAGAAGGUUGACAACAUAAUCAACAAAAAUUAUAUAGGGGUUGGAGAGGUAAAGUGUUAGUACUGUGUGCCUGGAUUAUCUACCAGAUGUUUUGAAUGAUACUAACGACACUAACAUACAGUAUGUCGAUGACCUACUGCGGCCUUUCAAUCCGCCACCAGUUGGGACGCCUGUCAAACCAAAGACUGACAGUCAGGUAAAUGAUGAACAUCAGACACAAAUAUAUAUUGUAACUUUGCAAGUACAAUCGAAGUCAUAUGCUUCUAACUGCUUGUAAUUUGCAGGAUAAGGCACUCAUGGGCCGUGUAUUGGCUGAUUUGAAAGAAGUUGCCUCCAUUGUGCGGGAAGCCAGUGCACAACAAUUUGAUAGGAUGAGCGCCCUUGAAAAAAAAUGGACGAGUGCCUUAGGCGUACACUUGCGAACGGCAGACGCACGGACGACCUCAUCACAGAAUUCAAUGUAAGUAUACCAUUAUGAGUUUCUAUAAAUAUUUUUACUAUCAAUACUCUCCACACUAACACAUUUUUUGAAGAACCACCGCUAUGGAAUAUUUGAUGCCGAUCGCCCAGGAGUAGAGGACAUACAGCUAUCUGACCUGGGAGUACCUGCGGACCCAAUGGAGGUCCCAGGAGAGAAUACUACCCACCAGCAAAAAAAAAGACACGGAGGUCAUUGCCAAAGGCAUUUCUGCUAAGGGAAUACAAAAAGAUAACAUGGAUGCCCCCAUGAAGAACGUAGCUGAAGAUUUGCAGCCUGCUCCUAGUUUGCAAUCGCGAAAGCAUUCAAAAACCACCACAAGCCUUGAAGCUUUCAUGGUGAUACACAUUUCACAUCUAACUGAUUUUGUUUUAAGUUAAUGCAGGUUCAUAGCUAACAUAUGAUCUUCCAUGUUCAGGAUGAAGAAGACAGAGUUGUUGCUGCAGCUUGCAAGGAGAGUCUCAAGAAUGUUUCAUAGCUUUAUAAAGAGCUGGAUGCUUCGCAGGGUGCUCCGAGUUUGGAUUCGCGAAAGCAUUCCAAAGCCACCACAAGCCUUGAAGCUUUCCUGGUGAUGCACAUUUUAUAGUUAACUGGUUUUGUUUUAAGUUAAUGCAGAUUCGUAGCUAACAUAUGAUCUUCCAUGUUCAGGAUGAAGAAGACAGAGCUGUUGCUGCAGCUUGCAAGGAGAGUCUCAAGAAUGUUUCACAGCUUUAUAAAGAGCUGGAUGCUUCGCAGGGUGCUCCGAGUUUGGAUUCGUGAAAGCAUUCCAAAGCCACCACAAGCCUUGAAGCUUUCCUGGUGAUGCACAUUUUAUAGUUAACUGGUUUUGUUUUUUUAUUUCACGCAGAUUGCAAGCUAACAAGUGCUUUAUUUCGAAUCACAGGAUCCUCUGAAUUUGGGGCACAAUGAGAAUGUGCGAAAGGCUGAGGAAAGAAGAGAUCAAGAUGAUGAAGAUGUCAGUAUUGAGGUGGGGGGAGAGGCAGGUACCAAAAGCGAACACCGGUCUGCCAAGGCUAAGGCAAUAAGGGAGCCGGAAGAGACCCAUGUCUUCCAAGUUGAUGAGGACAACUAUGAUGAUUCUUUAGCAAAGCAGCGACAAGAUAGUGUGGUUGAUUCCAUGCUACCAACUCGUACGAGCAUCCGGAAAAGAGUGGCAUCUUCAUUAUUGUGCAAUGAAGAUUAUGUUCUAUACGAUAGUGAUAAGAAGAGAAAGAAAAACAGGACUCCAUCGGAGUCUACAAACGAUUCCAAGGACACAAAGAAUACAAAGAGGAAAAACCGUGCAAGCAUUUUUAAAGAUACAGACACAGGUGCUUCGAGGCUGUAGACCGACCUUGACAAGUUUUGACAGAAUUACGUGGCCGAAAUUGUCAACACCUCAGAUCUUGAUAAACAAUUGGUGGUAAUUGAUGACAUUGUUCUGCUACAGAAGCAUUUGCAAUGCCUCACCAUGACAGAUGGAGUUUUAGAUGACAAAUGGUUGGGUGACGAAGUAAGAUAUUUGCCAAAUUAUUUUAUCAAUUUUCUUUUGCACAGUAUAAUUAACUUUAAUUUUGUUUUAGUUGGUAGAUGCUGUGAUUCAGAUCAUGCGUCAUGAUCAUCCUAAGGACAUAAGGGACGGGCAACUGGUUUACAUUCAGAGGGUGGCCGGCGUCGCUAUGCUCGAAAGAGAUGGUAAGGUAGAGAACUGCCACGAGGCCGCUUUGGCGGGCAGUCAUGGAACAACAGAAGGAGACAACUACCUCAGACAUGAUCUGGUACCAUCUAACCAUGACAUAAACACAUUUAUUUUUGUAAUCAUUAUGCAUGUUGUGUUGGGGAUUGUCGCAGAAAUUAAAAAAAUUCUACGCAUCACCAAGAUCAAUCUAUGGAGUUUACUAGCAACGAGAGGGGAUUGCAUCUUCAUACCUUUGAAGAUCGCGAUGCGGAAGCGUUGCAAGAACGCGGUUGGAGGAGUCGUACACGUAGCGAUUCAGAUCGCGGCAGAAUCCGAUCCAAGCACCGAACAACGCUGCCUCCGCGUUCAACACACGUGCAGCCCGGUGACGUCUCCCACGCCUUGAUCUAGCAAGGAGGAGGGAGAGGUUGAGGAAGAAGGCUCCAACAACAGCACGACGGCGUGGUGGUGGUGGAGUGGCAGUUCUCCGGCAGGGCUUCGCCAAGCUCACGCGGAGGAGGAGAUGUGUUGGGGAGGGGAGGGGCUGCGCCUUGGAUGUGGUGGUGCUGCCCUCCCACCCCCCUCUAUUUAUAGGGGCAAGGGAGAGGGGGCCGGCCCCCUCCAGAUGGAUCUAGAGGGGGGCGGCGGCCAAAGGGGGAGGCUUGCCCCCCAAGCCAAGGGGGGCGCCCCCUCCAGGGUUUCCCCCAACCCUAGGCGCAUGGGCCCUAGGGGGGUUUGGCGCCCAGCCCACCUAGGGGCUGGUUCCCCUCUAUAUUCAGCCCAUAGGGCCCUCCGGGGCAGGUGGACCCUCCCGAUGGACCCCCAGAACCCUUUCGGUGGUCCCGGUACAAUACCGAUAUACCCCUGAACACUUCCAGCGACCGAAUAAGGACUUCCCAUAUAUAAAUCUUCGUCUCCGGACCAUUCUGGAACUCCUCGUGACGUCCGAGAUCUCAUCCGGGACUCCGAACAACAUUCGGUAAUCACAUACAAACCUUCCUUAUAACCCUAGCGUCAUCGAAUCUUAAGUGUGUAGACCCUACGGGUUCGGGAAUCAUGCAGACAUGACCGAGACACCUCUCUAGACAAUAACCAACAGCGGGAUCUGGAUACCAAUGUUGGCUCCCACACAUUCCACGAUGAUCUCAUCGGAUGAACCAUGAUGUCGAGGAUUCAAGCAAUCCCGUAUACAAUUCCCUUUAUCAAUCGGUACGUUACUUGCCCGAGAUUCGAUCGUCGGUAUCCCAAUACCUCGUUCAAUCUCGUUACCGGCAAGUCACUUUACUCGUUCCGUAAUGCAUGAUCCCGUGACAAACUACUUGGUCACACUGAGCUCAUUAUGAUGAUGCAUUACCGAGAGGGCCCAGAGAUACCUCUCCGUCAUACGGAGUGACAAAUCCCAGUCUCGAUCCGUGCCAACCCAACAGACACUUUCGGAGAUACCUGUAGUGCACCUUUAUAGCCACCUAGUUACGUUGUGAUGUUUGGUACACCCAAAGCAUUCCUAAGGCAUCCGGGAGUUGCAUGAUCUCAUGGUCUAAGGAAAUGAUACUUCACAUUAGAAAAGCUUUAGUAAACGAACUACACGAUCUAGUGCUAUGCUUAGGAUUGGGUCUUGUCCAUCACAUCAUUCUCCUAAUGAUGUGAUCCCGUUAUCAAUGACAUCCAAUGUCCAUGGUCAGGAAACCGUAACCAUCUAUUGAUCAACGAGCUAGUCAACUAGAGGCUCACUAGGGACAUGUUGUGGUCUAUGUAUUCACACAUGUAUUACGAUUUCCGGAUAACACAAUUAUAGCAUGAACAAUAGACAGUUAUCAUGAACAAGGAAAUAUAAUAAUAACCAUUUUAUUAUGGCCUCUAGGGCAUAUUUCCAAUAGUCUCCCACUUGCACUAGAGUCAAUAAUCUAGUUACAUGUGAAGAAUCGAACACCCAUAGAGUUCUGGUGUUGAUCAUGUUUUGCUCGUGGAAGAGGUUUAGUCAACGGAUCUGCAACAUUCAGGUCCGUAUGCACUUUACAAAUAUCUAUCUCUCCAUCUUGAACAUUUUCACGAAUGGAGUUGAAGCGACGCUUGAUAUGCCUGGUCUUCUUGUGAAACCUGGGCUCCUUGGCCAGGGUAAUAGCUCCAGUGUUGUCACAGAAGAGAGUCAUCGGGCCCGACGCAUUGGGAAUAACUCCUAGGUCGGUAAUGAACUCCUUCAUCCAGAUUGCUUCAUGCGCUGCCUCCGAGGCUGCCAUGUACUCCGCUACACAUGUAGAUCCCGCCACGACGCUUUGCUUGCAACUGCACCAGCUGACUACCCCACCAUUCAAAAUAUACACGUAUCCGGUUUGUGACUUAGAGUCAUCCAGAUCUGUGUCGAAGCUAGCAUCGACGUAACCCUUUACGACGAGCUCUUCGUCACCUCCAUAAACGAGAAACAUAUCCUUAGUCCUUUUCAGGUACUUCAGGAUGUUCUUGACCGCUGUCCAGUGUUCCAUGCCGGGAUUACUUUGGUACCUUCCUACCAAACUUACGGCAAGGUUUACAUCAGGUCUGGAACCCAGCAUGGCAUACAUAAUAGAUCUUAUGGCCGAGGCAUAGGGGAUGACACUCAUCUUUUCUCUAUCUUCUGUCGUGGUCGGGCAUUGAGCCGUGCUCAAUCUCACACCUUGCAAUACAGGCAAGAACUCCUUCUUGGACUGAUCCAUAUUGAACUUCUUCAAUAUCUUGUCAAGGUAUGUGCUUUGUGAAAGACCUAUGAGGCGUCUCGAUCUAUCUCUAUAGAUCUUGAUGCCUAAUAUGUAAGCAGCUUCUCCAAGGUCCUUCAUUGAAAAACACUUAUUCAAGUAGGCCUUUAUACUUUCCAAGAAUUAUAUAUCAUUUCCCAUCAAUAGUAUGUCAUCCACAUAUAAUAUGAGAAAUGCUACAGAGCUCCCACUCACUUUCUUGUAAACACAGGCUUCUCCAUAAGUCUGUGUAAACCCAAACGCUUUGAUCAUCUCAUCAAAGUGAAUGUUCCAACUCCGAGAUGCCUGCACCAGCCCAUAGAUUGAGCGCUGGAGCUUGCAUACUUUGUCAGCAUUCUUAGGAUCGACAAAACCUUCCGGUUGCAUCAUAUACAAUCCUUCCUUAAGGAAGCCGUUAAGGAAUGCCGUUUUGACGUCCAUUUGCCAUAUUUCGUAAUCAUAGAAUGCGGCAAUUGCUAACAUGCUUCAGACGGACUUCAGCUUCGCUACGGGUGAGAAGGUCUCAUCGUAGUCAACUCCUUGAACUUGUCGAUAACCCUUAGCGACAAGUCGAGCUUUAUAGAUGGUAACAUUUCCAUCCGUGUCCGUCUUCUUCUUAAAGAUCCAUUUAUUUUCUAUCGCUCGCCGAUCAUCGGGCAAGUCUGUCAAAGUUCACACUUUGUUUUCAUACAUGGAUCCUAUCUCGAAUUGCAUGGCUUCAAGCCAUUUGUUGGAAUCUGGACCCGCCAUUGCUUCUUCAUAGUUCGAAGGUUCACCGUUGUCCAACAACAUGAUUUCCAGGACAGGGUUGCCGUACCACUGUGGUGCGGAACGUGUCCUUGUGGGCCUACGAAGUUCAGUGGUAACUUGAUCAUGAUCGUCAUCAUUAACUUCCUCUCUAGUCGGUGCAGGCACCACAUAAACAUUUUCUUGUGCUGCGCUACUUUCUGGUUCGAGAGGGGUCAUCUCAUCAAGUUCCACUUUCCUCCCACUUACUUCUUUCGAGAGAAACUCUUUCUCUAGAAAGGACCCGUUCUUGGCAACGAAGAUCUUGCCUUCGGAUCUGAGGUAGAAGGUAUACCCAAUGGUUUCCUUCGGGUAUCCUAUGAAGACGCAUUUUUCCGACUUGGGUUCGAGCUUUUCCCAAUAUUUCCUUGUGGUGGGUUGUUAGAGAAUCCCCUAUAAAUAAACAUUACGUGAUCUAAAACUACCUCUUCGUGGGAUCCCAAAUUCCCAAUAUUUCCUUGUGAUCGGUUGUUAGAGAAUCCCCUAUAAAUACGAAGCUUUUCACGGCAUAGAUCGUAUACUUCCACCCCACACCUAGCCUUCCAUGACUACACCGAAUUACCACCGCACGCCGCCCAAAGUAGCUCCCAGGUCGGUGACAUCGGAGAAGCCGGCGAAGCAAAAGAUGAAAGCGAACGGCAAUGGAGUCGGUCGCCAUCGAGAGAAUCCUCUGGUAACGAUCGAGAUCCUUGUAUUCUGUAUACUCCCUCCUUCCCAAGUCUGCAUGCAAUCCCAUUAUACCAAAGGGAUAUGGGUGUGUCUAGAAAGAAAAGAAAAAACAACAAAAAAAAGGCUUGCACGAAUCUUAGCAUAAAAUCAAUGACAUAGGACUUAGAUAAGCAAUACUUAGAGCACAUCUAGAUGUGCUUUAGCAAAACUUAAGGGAGAUCAUGCAUGCCUUCAGUUUUUAGUCGUGAAUGCCUCUCUUUGUAAUGAAACUUGCACUAAUUUUCAUGCUGGAAAGUUCUACGUGCAACGAUAUGGGAAGGAAGGACUAGUAAAUGGUGGAGCAAAUCUGGAGGGCAACCUAGCACUGCUUCAAGUAAUACAAUCAUUAUUAACAUACCAUACAUUUAAUUUUAUGGAGAAUUUUCUAAGCUGUUUUUGUUGUAAUGCAGACGUGGUACUACGAGAAGUGGAGGGUGCACCAAUUGGACUAUACCAUCUCGUAUGCAUCAAGGUUAAGGACGCUGAUCCAAAACUGCCACGAGGCAGCUUUGGCAGGCAGUCAUGGAACAACAAAAGGAGACAACUACCUCAGACAUGAUCUGGUACCAUCUAACCAUGACAUAAACACAUUUAUUUUUCUAAUUAUUAUGCAUGUUGAUGUAAUCAUAUUUGUUGUCCAGGUUUUUCUACCUAUGAACAUGGCAAACACCCACUGGUUCCUUGUGGUUGUAAACCCCAGAAGGAGGGAGAUUCAGAUUCUUGACUCACUUUUCAGCUACAUAGUAAGCACACAAGUGGUUCACGUGGUGACAUUUUAAACGUCUUUCAAUAUAACACAGCAUUUAGCAUCAUACCUAACCUUGAACCGUGAGCAACUUCUCAUACCAUGGACUUUGGCAGAUACGUGGGGUGGAAGCACAUCUAAGAGCAUCGCUGCAAAUCAAUGGACCAAAAAGCCAUGCAUGGCAAGACAUUAACGUGACCUAAUGGACAGUAAAGCAUGUUCCUGUGCCAAGACAAGAUGACAAGUCAGUCAACAGUAUUAGCUUCUAAAUAUGUUUUUCAUUGUUAAUACGUGAAAAUGGUGCUAACAGAAUUAAUUGUUGUAGUUCUUCUUGUGCACUCUACAUGCUGAAGAACAUCAAAUUCUUUACGGGAGAAGAUCUUACGCUGCAUUAUGACCAAGUACGUAGAGUAACACCUAAAAUUCUGUCAAUUUUGUAAACAUAUGGAAUGAUACUAACAUAUCCUCCCAUGCAGGCAUACAUUGACAAUUAUAGAAGAGAGCUGCCUGUUGUCCUUCUUAAUUCGCCCUACAACAAAUUUAAGUCCAUGAAAAGGCCGAAGAAGUACAAUGCUAGCCUAUCGGAUGCAGCUGCGAUUGAAGAUCAUGAAGAUGCAAGCAGUUAGUCCAGCAGUGGUUGAUUCUUAGAUCUGGAGUGUACACUUGGUUAUGAAGCGGUAGAGUAGGGUGUGGUUUGGUUUUAGUCCCAAAGAAGGUUUCCUAGCCAUGUUCAUAGUCCAGUGCGGAUUAAUCAAGUUGUAAUAUUUCACAGUACUGGUUCCAAAUACUAUUCUUGAAAUAAAUUUGGUUUGCAUGGGAGACGCUGAAACAUAUAUUUGCUUUUUACAAACAGAACUUUUGAAGCUUAGGAAGGUUAACUGAAUUCUUAAAUUUAUAUUUAAGUGUCGUCGGAGUCUGGACAAGAUUCAGAACAAUUACAUCGCCAGUUAGAAGUUUCAGAAUUUUUUUAACAUCGCUAGUUAGAAGUUUCAGAAUUCUUUUAACAUCGCUAGUUAGAAGUUUCAGAAAAAUUUCAGCGAGUGCUGAAAUAUUUUGGCAUCGCUAGUUAGAAGUUUCAGAAAAAUUUCAGCGAGUGCUGAAAUAUUUUGGCCGAAAUUCAGUGAGGCUGAAAUAUUUUGGCUGAAAGGCAAAUAUUGCAGUGAGUGCUGAAAUGAAUGAAGUUCAGUUAUUUCAUCGAAAUCUCACCGAAGUGAAAACCAUGGUGUCGUGCCAUCUUGAGCAGCACCGGACAUGAUUCAGUAUUAUUAACAAAAUUUGGUCUCACAUAUACGAGGAAAAAAGGUAUGAGCAUGAGCAUGCCAGAUCGGAUGGGAAAUAAAAUAGCUUCACAAGAGAGUAAAAUACUUCACGUGUGAAGACUCAAUCUUAGUUGACUUUAGAACCAGUUUUCAUCCUAAAAGAGGUCCAGUGAACUACUUAUAAGCAAUAAUAAAAGCGGUCCAGUUCUUUUGGCUGAUUUUCAAAGAAACGGGAACGAUAUCUUUUUGAUGAUCGUGAUUCUCAGGAGACCUACGUGUUGUUACACAACUUACCUUGGUUUUUUUAAACCAUAACUUACCUUUGCUAAACUCUCCACGCCCCCCCUAAUAUUCAACCAGGUGGGUCCCCUCCCUUGAUUUCCUCCAACCAAAGAAAUCUAUACGUAGAUAUAUGCCCGGUUUGUUACGAUCCCUAUAAAUAGGGAUCCUUUGAAACCUCGUAGAUCAUAGUUCGUCCUUCUGCGCCGCCCAAACCAGCAAGACAGAAGGACGGAGCAACCCAGGAAUCCAGCAAGACCGAACGACGGAGCCAAACAUGAAUCCUCUGGUAACUCCCCACGAUCUCAGCCGCUGCUAUUUUUCGUGCCACGAUCUUCCUCCCAUGAUCUCUUGCUGCGACCCCACUCGUUGUUUGCAUAUUCAUGUAACUCAGCAUGUUUUUAAACAAAUUAAGUUGGGGGCGUUAGGGGAGGGCGCUAGGAUUUGUUUCCUACCAGAUUGGCAGUGAUUAAUUCCAGGCUAAAUCUUAGCGUCUGGUCUUGUCGAUGCCAAUUAGUGCAGCGGGCGCUUGCCUUCUUUUUUUCCUUCCGCACGAGUUAUGGAAGGCAUCGAUGACCCAUGUUUUAAUUCCAUACUACUGACCAUGAUUAGCGCCUAGAGUUGAGGAGACCACGGUUGGAUAGUUUUUUAUUUUCCAAUCUUUAUUUUAUUUCAGAUAAGUGCCUUGCAAUGGAGAUUACCUUAGAUGAUCGUUCAAACAUAACCAAGCUGAAUCACAUGAUAGUAUUUGCACAUACAUGGAACUCAGCAUGCUUGUACCUCAUGCAGUAGCGUAGAGCACAAUUUUUAUGUUGGUAUAUGUAAGUUGUAGUCAUCUGUAUGAGUGUUUAAAUUGUAUACCAUGCUGAAUCUAAUCACACUUGCACAUCCAUUGAACCCAGGAUGCUUCUUUGCCGCCAUAUGAGGAGUUCAUAAACGGAUUAAACACGCAGCAAAGGAUGUACAUCCAGUUGAUAGGACUGGGUGGACUUCUCAAGACACCUAGCAUCAAAAUUAGACGUGUACUCUGCCUGGCCAUCGCUAAUUCAUAUGAUGCAGAGCAGGAUGCCUUUAUCAUCAAUGGGAGACCAUGUAGGAUCACACUAGAAGAUGUAGCGCAUAUAACAGGCAUGCCCUGCCAUGGGAAGAAGCACGUCCCUUCAAAUCUUGAUGAUAAUAUGGAGUUGUGGAAGAAACUAAAAGACCGUAAUGACACCAAAAUAACUUUCAAAGGAUUGCUAGCCAAGAUGAAAGUCGACAGCACACCAAAUUUUGUCAGGCCAUUUGUCUUGUACACCAUAGGCAAAUAUGUAUGCCGAACAAAAGAGGAGUAUGUGGAUAACAAAUAUAUUGGGAUUUUUAGAAACGUUGAGACGAUAAAGGGCACAAAUCUUGGACAGCUGGUGAGGCAAUUCUGGAGGGGAAUCUACCACUGCUACAGGUAAUUCGUAGUAGUACAAUUAUCAGUUACCUAACAUACAUUACAUAAUGUAUGGGAAUGUUUGUAAACUGCUUUUGUUGUCAUGCAGACAUGGUACUACGAGAAGUUCAGAGUGCACCAAUUGGACUCUAGCAUCUCAUAUGAAUCAAGGUUAAGGCCGUUGAUCCAGAACUGGAGCGAGGAGAAGGCAAAAAAGGUUGACAAUAUAGUCCAGAAUAAUUAUCUGGGAGUUGGAGAGGUAAAAUGUCAGCACAUUGCCUGGAUUAUGUAACAUAUAUAUUUUCUAAAUCAUACUAACGACACUAAACUGCAGUAUGUUGAGGACCUGAUGAGGCCUUUCCUUCCAGCACGAGAUGGUACGCUGGCCAAACCGAAGACUGGCGCUCAGGUAAAUGAGUUACAUAAGGAACAAAUAUAUAUUGUAACAUUCCAACUAGUAUGAAGUUAUAUGAUUCUAACUGUUUCAAAGUCUCAGAUUAAGGUACUCGUCGGACGUGUAUUGACUGAUUUGCAAGAAGUUGCCUCCCUCGUGCGGGAGUCCGGUACAGAACAAAACCAUAGGAUGUGCACCCUUGAAAAGAAAAUGGAUGAGUGCCUUAGGCGUACCCGUACAAAUGGCAAGCUCACGGAGGACCUCAUCAAAGAAUUGAAGGUAAGCCUAGAAUUAUGAGAUUAGUAUAUAUAAUUGGAAAUUUACGUGUACAAGUUUUUUUCUAAUUUACUUUACUAUCAAAACACCCCAGACUAACAUGUAUUUUUUAAAGAAAAAACACGAUGGAAUAUUUCCAGGAGUGGAGGACAUACAUCUAUCUGACCUCGGGGCACCUUCACACCCAAUGGAGGCCUCUGUUGAGAAUGCUGAGCAGGCUUCUGACCAGGGGAAACAAAAGGAUGUCACAGAGGUCGCUGCUAAGCACGAUUGUAAGCAGGGAAUAAAAAAUGAUGACACGGAGCCCCCCAUGAAGAACCUUGAUGAAGAUUUUGAUGUACGCAUGUUAACUUAGUUAUGAAACAAUCAUUGUCGUUUUAGAAAUAACAUUUGAUCUUCCACCUACAGGAUGAAGCAUUCGAAAGAGCUGCUGCAAAAUCAAACAGGAUCUCAGUGGUAUUCAUAAGCUUUUGAAAGAGGUGAAUGAUAUCCAGGGAGCUCCUAGUUUUGAUAAGCAAAUGCAUUCCAAAGCCACCACAAGCCUUGAAGAUUUCCAGGUGAUGCACAUUUUACCUAUAAUUGAGCAAGAAUCUGCUAAAGGCUAACACGCGGUUUAUUUCGUCUGACAGAAUCCGUUCAACAGAUGGAGUAAGCAGCACUCUGUGAAGGCUACGGGAUCGCGAGAUCCGGAAGAGCCCCGUGCCUUCACAGAUGAUGACAGCCAUGAUGAAUCCUUUCAAAAGCAGCAACAAGUAAGUGUGGUUGAAUCGACGCCACCAAAUCAUGGGGGCGAAAAGAAAAGGGUGGUAUUGCAAUUAUUUAAGAAUGACGAGUAUGCUUCGUACGACACUGAGAAGAAAAAAAGAAAAAACCAAGACUCCAUCAGAGUGUACAAAUGAUUCCGAGGACACGAACAGUAAAAAGAGGAAAAUCGGCUCUAGCAACUUAAAAAAGAGGUCAGAAGUUCCUGAAACCCAGAGAGACCAGCUAGACGUGGUUCGACAGGAUUUCGUGGCGUCACUGAUCAACACUACAAAUCGUGAAAAACAAAUGGUCUUAGUUGAUGACAUUGUCGUGCUAUCAAAGCAUUUGCAAUGCCUCACCCAUAAAGAUGAAUCUGAAGAUGGCGUAUGGUUGGGUGACGAAGUAAGAUAGUAUUUCACAAAUUAGUUUAUGAAGUUUCAUUUUUGUACAAUACAAUUAACUUGAUUAUUGUUGUAGGUGGUUGAUGCUGCGAUCCAGCUCAUGCGUCAUGAUCAACCAAUUGACACAAGGGACGGCCAACUGGUUUACAUUGAGAGGGUGGCCGGCGUCGCUAAGCUCGAAAGAGAUGGUAGGAUAGAGGAGUGCUACGAGGACGCUUUGGCAGGCAUUCCUGGAACAAAACAAGGCACCACCUACCUGAAACAUGAUAUGGUAUUUUAAGCUGACGUAGAACGGAUUUCUUUAUUACUAUGCAUGUUGAUCUAAUUAUCUGUGCACUCCAGGUUUUCCUACCUACGAAUAGUUUAAACACCCACUGGUUCCUUGUGGUCGUAAACCCCAGAAGGAAGGAGAUUCAGGUUCGUGAUUCACUUUUCCACUGUAUGAUACCCAGAGAAGUAAAUAACGUGGUGAGAAUUUCAACAUAUUUAAUUAUAAGAAAGGAUUUAACAUCGUAUGUAAGUAUUAGUCGUAGGCAACUUCUCAUCCCAUUGGGCUUGCAUGUAUGUGGGAUGGAAGCACAUCUGAGAGCAGCGAUGCGAGUCAAUGGGAUUGAAAGCAAUGCAUGGGAAGACAUUAACGUGAUGCAAUGGCCAAUACGGAAUAUUAAUGUGCCAAAAUCAGAUGAGACGUCAGUCAACAAUAUUAGCUUUUGUUUUUGUUUUAGAUUGUUAAUAUCUGAAAUGCUGAUCUAACAACAUAAAAUGUUGCAGUUUUUGUUGUGCAUUGUACAUGCUGAAGAACAUCGAAUUAUUUACAGGAGUAAAACUGAGGUUGCAAUAUGACGAUGUACGUAGAGUAACACCUAAAAUUCUGUCAUUUUCUUAAACAUAUGGAACGAUACUAACAUAUCCUCGCAUGCUGGCCUACAUCGACAAAUUCAGAAGAGAGCUACCUGUUGUGCUUGUCGAUUCACCCUACAACAAAAUGAAAUACAAGACUAGGUUCAAGCAGUACCAUGCUAGGCAAUCGGAUGCAGCUACGGUUGAAGACGACGAGGAUGCAAGCAGUUAGUCCAGCAUUGUGGUUCAUUCUUACAUGUGGAGUGUACACUUGGCCAUAAAGCGAUAGAGUAGGGUGUGGUUGGGUUUUAGUCCCGAAGAAGGUUUCCUAGCCGUGUUCUUAGUCCAUUGCACAUGAGUCAAGUUGUAAAACUUCAAUAAUAUUGGUUACUAUAUUUUUCUUGAAAUAAAUUUGGUCUCUACGGGAUCUCGUAGAAAUCUAUAUUUGCUUUUUACUACCAUGUGACAGUAAUGGUGCCUGGGGCAACCCUAGAAGAAUAAUGGAUUACGAUAUGUCUAUUUUCAUACGAGAGAAAAAUUUAUUAAAGCAUGAGCAUAGCCUCACAAUAGAAGUCAAAAAUACUGCCUGAUUCAACACGCAAUCCCAGCUAUGUCUCGUAGGCAGGCCGCAAAGCCAAAAAAUAGAGCAUAGGAUAACAAGAGUAAAAGCACGUACCAUAGGGGGCCUCUGCAGGUGCUGCAACGAUGAAUUGAAGCGAUCACCUUCAGGAGCGCAGUGGUGUGGCCAUGGUACAUCCAUCCUGCCUCAGGUAAUCACAUAGCAUGUUCUGUCAUAGCCCUGCAAAACAGAGGAAAAAUUACUAGUACUAACCUUGUCAAGUGUGUGCAUGUAACAAAUGUUGGACAUAACUAAACACGGAAGAAUGAAAUGCAACAUAUGGAAGAAUCGAAUGCUCAUUCCUUUCUCUCUGCUUUUUGCGAGGACCAUUACUCUCCCUUUAACAAGGCUAAAACAUCAUAAUAAGACUUAACAGCAAUCUUAAAAAGGUGGAUAUCCCAUGUGAAUCUAAUGUUUCAUAUAAAGCACAUGCCAAGUCUGUUGAUCCCAGUCCAGCAAUUGCACAAGAAGAAGCGAGCAUCAUAAAUAUUGAGCAGCAUAAGCUAUAAAUUGUUUAUAGUACAUUCCAAAAUUAAUAGCUUAUCAUCUCUGUUGAUCUCCAAAUCUCACCUAUAGCCAAAUUGAAAGAAUACAUAUUGAAUGCAACGAUUGAACGUUCGUAGAUCAAGCAGUCGGGGCCGGACGAAUGGGGCUGGCCGUCGAGGCCGGCGGCCGGCUUCAUCUAGUCCCGCAGAACAUGAUCCAUACCCAACCACCUUGCCAUCGGACGAGAUGCAUGGCGAGAUCAAAGCUGCAGCCAUGGCUGAGAAAUGAUAUGUAGAGGACGCAAACAACCAAUUGGGGUGUGGGAAAGAGGUUGCCUAUAACCUUGUGGCUAUAGGCACCCGCAUGGAGGACUGGGAGGUGGGAUGGCGCCGACUCUUCGCCGGCAGCCGCCGCGGGGAGGGCAGUGGGCCUCCUCUCGUGUUCGUUGAAAAGGUGGUGCGAGAUCGCGAGGGAAUUGGGGUGGAGGAAGGGAGGGGCCGCGACGCGCGGCUAGAUCCUGCCGGCGACGAGGGAGGGAGGGGCCGCGACGAGCGGCUAGAUCCUGCCGGCGAGGAUUAAAACCGUAGCGGCGGCGAGGAAUAAACCCUAGCGAACGGGAUAAAUAUCGAACCGAAAAUAGCCCUGAAAUUCGUACCGAGAAUACCCUCGAAAUAUUUGGGAGGAAAAAUCAGAUCAGUUCGAAAUAUUUUUUCUCCCAAAAAUGCCCCUCGGGGUCUGAUAUGAUACACGUGACAUCAGCGUAUUGCAUCGGACCUGGACCGUCGAAUUCGCUCCGACGGACGGUCCAUAUCGUCCGGAUGCACUGUAAAAUGACUCAUAAAUUAAUGUGCUUUGUUUGUGUGAAAACUAGUUUGGUUUUGUACCAAAUUUCCAUAUACUUUGGAGUCCUCCUCACCUAAAAAAAGUCGUCCUUGGCCACUGGCCUGAAUGUAGCAUUGUAGCAAUAUACGAUGGCAAAACAACAUGAAGAGGAACAAAAUGUGUUGUCCGUCAAAGAGAAUUCAGAAUGAUAAUGAUCAUAUAAUAUGAGCUUGGUAUCCCCCAAAAUAAGCAUGCAAAGUCCAUCUCAUUCCUCAUGACAUGAUUGAUUUCACGACUAGACAAUUUGGUCGAGUUCCUGUAGAUUUCAAGGGGUGUGAGAGUAUUCAUGCGCGACCCGAGCAUCUGCACAAAGCCAUGUGCAAUCACCGUGCUUUUUUUCAUCUCUCGUCAUGUCAUCCACACAAAACAAAAGCUUUUUCCAGAGCAUUUUUCACGCGUGCACGCGUGUGUGAUGUGAUGCUCAUGCCACAAGCUUAACCAAGAACCAACGAACCAUCCAUGCUCUAACCGUAUAGAAUACCGCUUAGGAAAAUUGUUCGUGUCGUGUCAGUACUGUCGACUGGCCUUCAUUUUCCUCUAGGUCUACCAUGAGAUUGUUGAUUGCAACUUCAAAGGCUGAGACCGAGCUAGGUUGCUUCAUACCAAGGCGGACCAUGUAAAGCGACGGGGUUGCCUUUAUUCUCCAAAGAAAGCGCCCACGAGAUGCUAUUCCCUCACUAGUCCUGACAAGGAGACCGUGCUAAUUGAACUGCCAAAUUAAUCUUACCCUGUACGAUGCAAAGAACGUGCAGCAUAUUCACUUUGUUUCCCUAAAGUUAGGUUUCCCGUCCAUCAGCUGCACUGCAAUUAGAAAAGAACUAAUAACUGAACUGAAUACUCCUGAAACAUCUCCUCUCUUGAAUGCAUAUAAAUCUUCUGUACUUCAUCUAGUUCUUAUAUAGGAAAUAACAGGCCAUCCUCUUCAACGUAACUCCAUACAUUAACGAUUCUCGAGCUUAUAACUUUUAGAAAACUUCCAAUGUUACAAAAAGAAAUACUUAUGCAAUGCAUUAAGUGUUCAUUACAAACGUCAUGACGCCAAAACUCCAAGAACUAAAACAUAAUGGUAGCAUCCAUAACGUAAAGCCAAAUUAUUUAUCCUUUUAGAAGUUUUCACACAAAAUUGUUUUAUCCUUCUAAAAGAAAAAGAGAUGUUGAUAUUUGUAGAAAAUGCCGUGGAGCUUUCAUGUCGCUUGUUCCUUCACGGAACUUAUGUGACGCAUGCAACAGAUAUAUAAACCUAGUGAUGCGCACUUCUCUGGUGUCCAAUCCUCUCUGUGUUUUCUCUCGUCGCAUCCACAAGACGUUGGACAGUGGCAAUGAAAGGGAGAUGUGGGACAAAAGGGAUUUUCGGUUGGUGAUAUCCGUGCUAAUCUCAGUUGUGUUAUCGUAGCCUGUAGCCAUAAGCUGUCUUUUGCUUUGGGGAGAAUCUGCAAAAGAGACUUUUCCUGCUGAUUAGACGGCUAAAGAUGUGAUUGCUGUGGGUCAAGAAAAAAAAUAGUGCGGUUAAACUCAAAUCACAUCAAAGCUUGAAGAGAACAAUGUGUUCACAGAAUUAGGGCAAGAUAUUUUUGAAAACGAGGUUAGAAUUUAGAAUCCUUGCCCCUGCAUCAUUGCAAUGUGCACACCAUUCUUAUUAAUUAAUAAGCAGAGUAUAUAGAAUAAAGACAAUAACUGCCGGGCCAUUAUAAGAUAUGAAAUUAAUCCAUUUGACUAAGUCGACUUUCUUCUGCAGCAACGCUUUGAAGAAGAGAUAAACGUCCUCACGCCAUCGUCGCCACGUCUGACCGGAGGAGGCCUGGACAAGGAUUUUCAUCCUCAUUGUUCAAAUCAGCCAAUAAAGACACAACAACAA